AGACUAGCAAACUCUUGAGGUGGGUAGUACACGAAACAAAAGCAAAAUGCAACAAUGCAGCAGGAGACGGGAAAACCAAUCAGCGACAUGAAUCUUUGAGGGAUACUAAUAGCAACAGAAAAGAGAGUGAUUCAUCAUCAUGGCAGCAAAUUGGACUUUAUUUCCUUGUGCCAAAUAUGGUAUCUUGAAUACAGUUUAAGCAUAGUAGAAAAGAAUACCACAAGGUCAGCAUCAGACUGGUCAGCUAACUUCUUACACCCACAAAAUCCUUACCAAUUACUAAAAUAGUAUAAAAUAACCGAGCAUUAUAAUCCUUUUUUAUGUUUGUUCAACUAAUACUGUUUUUUUUUCAACAUAACUUACAGAUAAAAUCGCGUCCCCAAAAUGAAUUUAAUCGAAUUGAGGAUAUACAAGCUUUCAAUACAGAAAAAUCUCUUAAGACCCAAGCAAUAUGGAUAAACAAAAAAAAAACGACCAAAAGAAGAGUUUAAACAUUUAUCUUUAGAUGAGCACUUAAUUCUCCGUUUUCUGACAGUAUAUCUAAAUCAAACCAUAAGGCUUCAAUGAAAAUUUGAAGCUGGAUAGCAAGUCAAUUCUUGAUGAGGAAAAAAAAAAAAAGGCUAUGAGAUGAACAUAACAAAAAGAUAAUUAAAGGAAUCAACCAAGAUCUAUGUGGACUCAACCCACAAGUAUCAGCCAUCACCUUACCAGCUGAAUCAACAGCAGACAGAACAAAUGGGAGGAGGUAAAAUUCAAGAAGAUAUUAGAACAACUCUUUGGGUUAUUGUGGAAAGAAUGUAUAGAAAUCCACAUAGGAUAUCACCUUGAUAGUUAGGGACAAAUGGAGACUGUGAGGCAUUCUUCCAGUGAUCAUGGACCAAAAAGAAAACAGAGCAGAGCGAGCAGCAGCAAGCUGGCACAACAAAAUACUCUGCAGAGAGUUGUUAUAAAGCCAUUGAUACAGGCUGACAAUUGGAGACAGAAGAAAUGUGACCAGUAAUGCAUGAGAUGAGAAGAAUUAGAGGCAAAAGGGAAAACCUUAGAGAGUAAUGAAGUGAAAAAAAGGAAUUAUACGUGGAGGAAGGGACCAACUUUCAAGAGAAAGAGGACAAAAAAAAGUAAUGGGGAAAACAACUCACCCCACAACUCGAGGACCAGCUCAAAAAGCCAAACCACAAGGAUUUCAGGGAUUACCUAGAGGUGAAGUCCAGUUUUGUAUUUUUUCAAUAUACACAAUGAAGAUUUAUACUUACUCGAAAAGCCUUAGAAGAGACCCAUAUCAAGUGUCAUCCAAUUAUAAUUAUUGUCAGGGACAUCAUACGUGAUCAAGGGUUCAGCCACAAUCUGGCCAAUAUUUUGUUACACAACCAGCACUUGCUGAUUGAGCUAUGUCAGCAAGUAAAGAAUGAUGAUAGUUUCUUUAACUGAUGUUUCUAGACAGCUUUAUAAGUUAUAUAUGACGAUCAGCAAUUAUUUUUACCAUUAUCAUUUUAACACAACAAAAAGAUCUACAUCAAUAUGCAUAGGUCUAUAAGACAACAGAUAUGGUACCAAGGCAACCACUAACUGAUUUUUACGCCCCAGAAACACCUUUGUUUACAAAAGUUAAGAGUUGCAGAAAUAAGAAUGUUGAGAUGGAUGUACGGUGUUAUUAGAAAUGAUAGAACAAGAAAUCUGUAUAUUCAUGGACAAUUUAGAUGUUCCAAUCAAGGAGAAGUGACAGGAAACCAUUGAUAAUAUGAACAUGUCCUUAGGAGUUUGAUGCCUCAGUUAGAUGAAGUGAAUAGAUUGUGACCGAUGUGGAGCAAGGCCUAUGAAGUUGCUCCUGGUUUGAUUGGUAAUAUUGCACUCAGCAUAGCUAAAUGGUGGAAACACAUGCAUAAAGAACAUCUCAGAUAGCUAAGAAAUUAUGGGUUUUUUUAUUAUUGCUGCCAUUGUCGUCUGCAUUUUCAUGCACAAUAAAUACAUUCACAUUGAGGGUGAAAAAUAAUCUGAUAUAGACCAGAUAUAAAAACCUAUAUCAUCCACUAUAAUUCAGCAAUUCUACAUACAGAGAGACUAUAUGCUAUAACUUUUUACCAAUUUUCUAUAUACACUGUAUAUGGUUUUCUUGUCUUGGGUUUUUUUAUCUUCUUAACCAAGAAAUACAAUUGGUAGGUUUGAUAUAGUCUGUAUAUCACGGCACAUUGAUAAUGUAAUGCGUAUAUAUACAAGGAAAGGAAGAAAAAAAAGAAAAUCAUCCCAAAUCAUAUGUAUUGUGAUAAAGUCUGUUCUGGUAUAGAAAAGUGCAUUUAAAUGUAUGUAAAAUAGAUCAGAGUGCUAGAAAAUUGCUUUUGGGUGUGUUCACAAGAAUUCUGUCAUUGCAAAUCCAGUAAUUAGCAUGUGUAAAAUUGCAGAGGUAGUUAAGACACAAUAAUCUACAGCAUUAACACACUAGUUAAAUCAUUAGCUUUACUGGUAACCACGAAAGACAUAUAUGUAAUCCAGUGAGUGCAUGAACAAAAUUUUUUAGCAUUUAGAAGGCCAGAAUUUCAUGGUUCAGAAAAUUCAGUACCUAACAAAGGAAAUCCAUAGGCAAGUAGGCAGAUGGAUGACUAAAAGAACUAUUUUUUCUGGAAGUAUAUAAAAAAAGCAUUUACCUCAAAGCCUGUCAUGUCACAAUAUUUCUUUGAUGGAUACAAGGAUGGAGGUGACUCGAUAUUUAGAUCUGGAAUGAGAAAAUGAUUGUUAAUGUUGAAAAAAGCAUUGUUACGUAAAAAAAAAAAAAAGAAUGUUAGAGGUAUCUGAAUGCACAGAUUUAAAACUAAGCAUCCCCAUUUUCAAUUCUACAUGAGGCAUUUAAAAUUCUCAAAAUUUUUAAAUAAAGAACUGUCCACAAUCUGAAGAAAGUCUCAAAAGUCUUUUUUUUUUUCUUCCCAAUGAAAUCUUCACCAGAGUAUACCACAAGAUUGCCUUUUCUUGCUGCCAUAUGGGGUCAACCUGUGAACAAGGUAAACCCGAUGGAAUGGGAACCAAAAAACAGGAGGGUACCGCAUUGGGCAGAAGACGAUCAAAAAAGCGAAGGCUCACCCUUCAAAGCGCGGCGUGAGAUAGGCGACAUGUAGCUUGCUUCCAAGCCGGCCUGGCCCGGCCACAAAGAAUCGAUAGAUCUUUGCCGGAGCUGACUUGGAUCUCAGGUGACAAAAUAAGGCGACCAGAAGCAGCAAGUAACUGUGGUCGAAGCUUGGCUCUAGCCGAUAGGCUAGCAGUAAGCUUGGCUACAGCGAAGCGCUAUCGCAUAUAUUUCCAUUUAGAAGUCUCCCAUAUAAAUUCAAGUCGCCCAUAUUUCCCCAUUUCUUCUCCCUAGCUUUCAAACCUUCUUUUUCAUUUUUCCAUACCUUCUUUUCUGUAUCUCGCAAAUAAGAUAUUGAGUUUCUAAGAACCCUUAUUAUGCAUGUCUCGUGGAUCGAUGUUCCACAUAUAUACUCGACUUUCAUUCUGUAGGAGACCAACUUUUUAAAAUUACUGCCUACGGAAGAGCAAUUUGCUCUAACCAAACCCACUCAAUCAAGUAAAUCAACAAAAGGACAACGAUGAAGACUUUCCUUCCUUUUUUCUACGAUCUAGUUAUCAACAAUAAUAUCUAAUUGGGCAUAACAUCAGAUAAAAGGAAACUCUUAGUGGACAAGGAGGAAAAGGGAGAAGAUCUAACAGUUGGGUUCGUGGGCAGGUAGGGAGGCGUAGUUCUCGGCUUGGAGAAUCUGCUUGAGGUGCUUCCAGUGGCGGCCUCUCGACUGUCCCUUCGGAUACUUGUCUGACAUCUGCACCCGCUUGAAGGGCAGAGCCGCCGGCAACACCAUCUCUGAGCCCACCACCUCCGCCUCCAUCCUUGUUGCCAAACUGCCGCUAAAGAAUCUGGCAGAUCUUAGAGGAAAAGAAAGAAGAAACGAAAUCACCAACAAACCGAGCCCGACAUUAGGUAUCACAUACAUCUCGAAAUCAGAAGGAAAAGGAGAAGCGGAGAGGGAGGAAGAGGCGAACCAACUAUCGGCGUCGAAGGCGAUUGGAGCUGCGAAGGAGAAAAGGUGGGAAGCCGCGGCCGAGAACGGGAGGAGAAGAAGCCCUGGAAGAAUGAACGGGAAGCGGGUACGGGUAGAUAAAACGAGGCGGUCGGGCUUAUAUAGGAGUCCAGUUGUGGUUGAUCCGAACCCGAUCCAACUCACGAUCGGAUCCAUCAGAUCCGACCCGAAAUUCGACAACCUUGAUCCAGGUCUGAUCCAUUGAACGGGUCGGAUCUAAUUGCAAAGUUCGAUCGAAGAGUACAUUUAGUCGUUCUCGAAUAAAACUCCUCAAAUUUUGACUUUGUCCAAUACAAUUCCUAAAGUCAAAAUGUUGACCUUCGUUUUCGUCUUCUUCGAUCCUCGAAAUCUAGAACUCGGUUUCAUCACAAGGCAACAAAGAGCAGUGCGAAAAGGCGCAUUGUUGUUCUGCCAUAUCUCUCCUAGAGGAUUGUUGUUCUUCAGUUCACACUCCACGAUCUCCACCGGUCCUCCCAAUGGAGGCCGAGCUGAGGCGAGUUCUCCCCGGCGUACAUGCAUCCUCGAGCUUUCUCUUUUGUAGUAACCGGGAACUACGUCGCCUGAGCACGGUUCCGUCGCUCGUAAGGGGAGCAGGGGAGGCUGACGAAGGACCGGGGACAGGCGACAGGGGAGCAGCUUCGGCUUCAGAAAUGACGUUGCCUUCCUCCUCGACUCCGGCAAGAGUGAUAUCCGAUUCAAAAGAGAGAUCUAAUGCCAUGAAUCCCGAAGGGGCGACUUCCUCCCGGCGAUGGAGGACCACAAAAGAGAUGUCAUCCAUGGUGAUCAUAGGCGCGGCAGACGGAGUCUGGGUCGAGGGAAGUUAUUGAUGCAAUAUGAAACUGUGGGAAGUAAUGGAAAGGCCCAUUGCUCCAUGAACUCUUAUUUCUUGGUUGGAAAGACUUGGCUGUUGUCUUCGAUAACUAUGCUCAUUCUGAAAGAACAAUGGAGGAGUCAUCAAUGGCCUUUUGGCUUCUUGAGGUAACCACACAGGGGACCAAGUGUUAGGGAGCAAUGCCAACACUUUUCUUUGGAACUUGGAUGGUCACAAAAGCCAUCACACAAUUAACAAUGUUUAUGUUUCCUUGAUUCUUUCAUCUGAGUAAAUAUGCAUCUUUUUUAGUGUGCCAUCUUCUUUGUAAGUCCAAAUUUACUGUCAUGUGGAUGAUGAUGAAUGACUUGAAGAAUGGUGGAUAGCCAUUUCCUUUCUAAGAAGUUGAAAUGUGGAGGAAGUGUAUUGAUUUUGAGUGAUCAAUCUACUAAAUUCGAGUGAGUUUUUUCCUUUGAGAAGCAAAGAAGAAGAAGUGUUCAUGUCUGAAGCUUUACAUUAGAACGAACCAUGCAGCAGUGAGUCUCAUCCUGUUGUUGUGAGACUGAUCUCAGCUGCUACAGUCGCUGAUUCAAGAGAGCCCAACAGGUUUCAGACAUGAGGCAGUCACCACCACCAGCAUGAGGCCCAGCGUCGCGCUUUCCAAGCAAAAGUGAUGCCUAGAGUUCAUCCCAAGAAGAAGGAUGACUCAGAAUUCUGCAGUGGGUUAGGCUUUGCCCAGCCAACUGCUUGCAGUCUUCCCACGUGCCACAAGUCAGUGGCUCCUUGUUCCUUCUCCUCCCCUCUGAUUCCAUAAUUGACAUCAGAUCCACCUCAAAAGGAUCACCAAAUCUCUGCAGUAUUAAUACUUGGCCUUAGUUGUGAAUCCCAUGGGUUCUGGUUUGGCUGUCCCAUCUGUCACCUGCCAACCCCCUUAAAUGGUGUCUCUUCAGUUUAGUUUGAUGGCACCUUCAAACCUCUGCAGCCUCUUCAUGAUGCCCACCUCAUCCGGCUUCUUUCUUUGAUUGUUUGUGUAGAUUAUCCAAAACCUACAAGCUGAUCCAAUUCUUACAUGCACAUCUCACAUGUUCUUGCAGAGGAAACCAUGAGAGUACAAAGAGGUUUACAUGUAAGUUUGGCAGCAUGUUACUUUCCUUCUCUCUUUUUUCUGUGCUGUGGAUUGGCUUGAGCAUGAAGCAUCUUUUCACCACCCUGUCAAAGACUGAGACACUGUCAACAGUCUCUUCACCUCUCCUCUAUUUUUCCCAAAGAUUUAAACGCUUUGCUGGGAGUGAACUGUUCCUCACCAUGAUUGUAGUACCUGUGAGCACCAAAAUGGUCCUCAGAGCUGGGGGAAAAAGACAACACAAAGGGGUCUUUACUUGCUUUCACCCAUGGCUUCUCCCUUGCCAUAUAUGGGUGGGGAAAUCAUGACCCCACCAUAGCAUUCUGAGCCAGACGAGCCAGGGAGCUGUUGCUGUGAAGGGGGGCCGUUACUAAUCCUGAGAGGAAAGCCUGUGCUGGUGCAGGACAUUAGGUGAAGUGAUGUCAAGAGAAGUCAGUGUUGGCUUGGCCUCUUUCCAUGGAGGCACUCAGUGUUCCACUGGGGAAAUCUUUGGGUGGCCUCUCUUUAACCUUUGGAAACCAAGAGUUGCAGAGGAGAAAAAGAGUGUCACAGUUGCCAGUCACCAUUCAUGGCUAUUCAUGAUAGAAUGACCAGCUACAGCCUUCAAAACUUUGGCCUUCACUUCUCCCCCACACCACCUGCACAAGAGUAAGUUGUCUCAUGCUGAUGUUGCAGAAAAGAGAGAGUGACAUUGCCAUUCUCUUCUUGUAUGUUCUUCAUCAACUUGGAGCAAUGUUGUUUGGAGACAUGGCCAAUAGAAAUCUGUUGUGAGCAAUCUUCUGGGGGAAUGAAACUUCUGCUCUCUCUAUCUUCUGGGCAACUUUGUCCACAGCUUAGGAACUAACAAGUUGAUUGGAGCUGUAACCUGCUUCAACUUGUCAUGCUUGAUAGAGUUUCCAUUUUAAUGUCUCUAGUCCAAUCUCUCAUGAAAUGGUAGCAAUAAUUCAUCUGCUCCAAUGCUUUUACUUCUUGUUUAUGUAGCAAGUUUGAGGAGGCAGAGAUGACUUCCUCCAACAAAAGAUUUGGUACAUUGCUUGUGAGUUGAAUGAAGGCUGUUCCAAGCAGGCAAAAGAGGACACUGUGCUUGAGAAUUUCCACAUGAUGUGCCCCAUUGUCAUCAUGUCUCACAUCAAUGGGAGAAAGCUUCCAAAAGAGCCUCUCACAGAGAAAGGGAACUGAAUUGGACUUAAAGCAUAAAGAAAGACAAACCUGGCAACAGUUGACCAGGAAAACAAGGAACAACUUGGUUUGAGCUUGAUUGGAGCAGCAAAUAUUAAAGCAAUCAUAAGAUUCUUUCUGCAUCACAUAUGAGAACACAUUUGCAGGUUUCAUGGAGUUCUAAACCAUGACUUUCACUACUUUUCGCAACUGAGAAUAUAUACUGUUCUAUACUAAGAACAUAUGAUGAUCAUACUAGGGACUAUGGCAAAGGUCAUAUGAUGAAGGGUUCUUCAAGGUCUCAACAGCAAUAGCUUCACAAAACUUCCCCUCUCUCACAUUUUGUGGUUCUAUGUAACUUUACUGUUACCCUCUUCCUACGUUGCACCGACACCUAGGAAGUCAAUGAAGGGUAUCCUUAUCUUCUCCCUUCCAUGAGCAGUUCCUCCAUGGGGCCAAGCAUUGCUCAUGUGGAAGGCCACUGUGUCACUUGCUGAAGCCUCAGAAGUGGAAUAAGGGUAAUCGGCCUGAUCAACUCCGGGAAGCAACUCCAUGGGGGCAACACUAAGUUUCCCGUAGCAUCCAUUCUUUGCUGGAAGUACACUCUCAUGUAAACCUGCACGUAAAGCAAGCAAGAGAUAAGAGAUCUACCAAACACUUGGUCUCGUAGGCAAUGUAAGAAGACAGCUUUCGACAAGGAAUACCAUUGUAGAUGGCAUAGGGAUGUAGCCGUCGGGUUGGGCUGGUGGAUAUGUUGAGGAGGUGAGGCAAAGCUCUGCUGGUGAAGGAAUUGAGGGAGAGGUCUGUGCAGGUGGAAGCAGACUCGUCUCUGAUGCUGGUGAUGGUGGACUCACCACUGCAAGCAUUGAUGCUGGCGAUCACCUCCAUCCUCCUAGGGAGGGCCUGAGUUGAGGGAGGAUGGAGGGAGGGAAGAGUGGAGGCCUUCCUCCUCCUAUAAGCGUUGGACUGCUCCCUGUGCUUCCUGGCCAUGAUCACAUGCCAAUGAUUCUUGACUGCAUUGUCUGUCCUACCAGGGAAGAGCCUGGCAAUCAGUGCCCAUUUGUUGCCAUAAAGCCUAUGGGCAGCCAAAAGCCUCUCCUCUUCUUCCUCGCUGAAGGCGCUCCUGUUGAUCCUUGGGUCCAACUGGUUGAACCACCUCAGCCUGCAGCUCUUCCCUGUCCACAAAUGUUAAAACCCAGAAACAAGAUAAGGCAGAGGAACUGCACAUACAUCAGCAAAAGUAGACAACAUUUUCUCCCUGUUGAUGCAUGCAAGUAGAUAACCAAAAGUUCUUUCCAGGACAAACAAGGAAAACAAAAUGCCUAGUCUUUGUUCAUAUUUGUGUAUGAGGGUGGAUGAGAACCUGAUCUUCCAUCUAGUUUCUCAGCAAUCAGGUUCCAGUUUUGGGGGCCAUAUUGGGAGACAAGCUCCUUGAGCCUGGCAUCCUCAGCUGGCCUCCAAUGACCCCUAACACAGAGCUUCUGCUGCUGGCCACUCUCAUGUGUAGUAUCAUCACCACCUUCAUCUUCCUCAUAAUGCUCUUUCACCCCUGCCAGACACUGAAACCCCAAAGCUUGUUCACCACUCAUGCAUUCCCUCUCUCCUGAGGAAGAGCUCAUGUUCCCCAGAAAUGAAGGUGGUGGUGGUGGUGGUGGUGUAAACAACCCCAUGUCACCUAUGAAGGUCAAAGAUGACUGAAUGAGAGCUACAACAAAUUGAAAGACAAAGCAAAAAAGAGUGUAAUGAGCUAAUACCAAUACUCAAGGGAAGUGUGAGGGGAUCAAAGCCUUUAGAACAGGAUGGAUAACUGCAAACACUCAUCUAAGAAAUGAACUUAAAAGAUUGGCAAAGAAAGGGACAGAUAACUAGCCUUUGGUACAAGAGAACAACAUGACUCUCUCACUCUCUCUCUCUCUCUAUGCUUUCCCUUAGUCUCAGACUGAUAGCACUCGGGCUGUGAGCACCGGGGGUCGCAAAGCACAGUGUUCAAAAGGGAACCACUCGUGUGGGUUGGGAGUCCGAGUCCCUUACCAUUCUCCUUUAUAUUGGAGCUGCUCUCUGUCCCUCCAAGCCUGGGCAAAAGCACCAGAACUCUCUUGUCCAUUAGCUCCCUCCCUGUUUUAUCAACCCCAGAAAGAAAAGAAAAGAAAAGACAGAGGACAGAAACAUAAAGGUAAAGGAAAAGAAAUUGAAACACAUCAGUAGAGGCAGUAGUACAAUUGCUAGUUGGCCAUCUCAUUUUUAUGUUACCACUUUAUUUACAGGGGUAUGUAUUCCUUUUCUCACUCUUGUCCUCUAGUGUGCCUCAUCACAACCUUUCUUUCUUCAUGUUCAUCACACAUAUAUUUGCUUUCAGAAUCAUGAUAACAUUGUGACUCUCUCUCAUGGCCAUUGACAUCACUACUACUGCCCAUAGAGUUCAUGCAAAGUAUGAAGCUUAAUGUUUGUAUAAGGCCAUAAAGCUGCUAAAACUGCUGAUUUGAUCAAACAUUUAUCUGGAGCUGCAUUAAUCAAUCAGCAUUAUCAUUCAGCUUUCUUGUUUUCUACCUGUAAACAUUCAGCUCCUUGUGCUGCAACAUAAGUAAACAAGCUCUGAUGUUGGUAGGCCCAUAUUAGCCUAAUAUAUUCCAAUUGCCUUGCCAACAUAAUCCAGUUGAACACUAAUCAAACUCCCCACCACUUGCCUUCCUCUACUUGCUGCAUAAAAAAGGGCUCAAAUGCAACAUAUUGGACUGCUUCAAUCACAUCAUUAUAUUGGGUCAAAUGCAGAGUAUCAGUAAGAGAGUACUUCAAUGGAAUUGCCAUACUUAGCUUUCUCUUAGCUGUGGAAAUGCAGAGUACUUCAAUGGAAUUGCCAUAUUUAGCUUUCUCUUAGCUCAGAGAGAGAGAGAGAGAGAGAGAGAGGUUAAGGAAACUAAUGACCAAGCUUUGCACACCAUGAUGCUGAGCACCAUCACAUGAGGAACUAACAGAGCUCAGAAGCCAUUGCUGUGAUUCAUCUUAUAUCAUGUCAAUUUAGGUAGGCACUCAUCAGUCAUCCCCUGCCGUGGCUAGGCGCAUGAUGGCAGCCACCACAUUUGGCCUCUACUGGAGCAGUUGCAGGUGGGCAGGGAGACAGCAGAGCGAACUGCUUCCCUUCUCCCCUUCACCGACCCACCCACCCGUCCCAUUUCCCACAUCUUUUUUUGUUCCUCGCUCUCUCUCUCUCUCUCUUUCUCCUCCAAUCCUUUUCAGUGUUACAGCCCACCACAAAGGUAUUAAUAUUCUCCUCUCCUUUUGCUCCUUUGACAGCCUUCAGGAUCUUUUGAAGGGGCGCACAGCCAUGGCUGGAAAUCUUCGGUGCAGGGAAAUGAUGGGCAGAGGACGGCCGCUACGGGCAGCUUUAAUUUGGAGGUACGCUCAGAGGCAUGUGUGGGGCGCGGCGGCAACCCGUAACGCUCCGGUCGCGUCGUAACGGGGACGCGUUCGGCGACUCCCUCUCUCUGUCAUCCGUCGUGGCAUCUACAGCUCCCUUUUAUCGCCUUUUCCCGGAAAACGCUAUCGCCGUUUCGUUAUGGCGGGUUGGACGCUUCCGAAACCGUUUUAUGCUUCAUGCGUCUGUUGCGUUACGUGCGACAGCGAGGUCCUGACACGUGCAACGGCGCCGUUGUUGCAUGACCAGGACACGCGUACGGUCACUUUUUUUUAGAGAAAUAAAAUAUCGUAGCUGGAUUUUGAUUCCUAACAAACCAUUCAAAUUGUAUUGGGCCUAAUUGGGCCGUGCGGCCCGAUUCUCAUCAUAGCCCAUUGGCAGACAACAUCGGAUGGAUAAGUCAUUCGCUCGAAGCCCAAUCUCGGGUGGAUUCGGCCUUCCUCUUUUGCAGCCGGUCCACAGACUAUCCAAUCGACAAUCGCCACGUCAAUUCGAUCAAUAAGUCAAUGACUCGGGAUUUGAUCCGAUCAGCAUCUGCUGUGGUGCUAAUAACUAUACCCCGGACGACUAAUUUCGUCGACGUUGCUCGAUUGGACAGUCCUCGAAGUCGAAUGGAAGCACAGGAAUGCAGUAUUGACCAUGGCUAAGGAAACUCUAAUCAGGGAUCUCAUCUCGUCUCGUCACCCCCAAGGCUAUCUUUAUCCGGUCUGCUCCACCCACACGCUCAGGGCCCAAAACCCUAGAUGCCCCCUCCCCAAAGUACAGAGAUCGCCUCCCGAGCAAAGGGAGAGAGAGAGGCAACUGUGUGGACACAGUAACUCACAGGACAUGACGAGGGUAGCUGCCGAGAGACACCGACCAAGGGCCCGUCGGCUAGGCUUUUGGGGCACAUGCACAAGGAAGCGGGUUGGCUUUAGAGAUCGGUGCAGCUUGGACCCUUUUGCGGCACUGCACCAAGCUUUGCCUUCCUCGUUCGGUCCCAUCCUCGCCUGCUCACUGUUGCUUGAUCACAAAAAGCCACGGGAAGCAGACUCACCUGUGUUCAUCACAGGAGUUUCUUUAUUAACGUCUUGUACUUGCACAAUAUACAAUUGCCUUCCUUUGUCAUGUCCGGCACCACCUUUGCCGGGGAAUCCAAAACAAAAGUAUGGCGGUAGAUGUUUAUGAAUCACCAGCUUCAGCUGAUAACGUGAUUCCAUCAUGUGUUGCCUUCCGAACAGUGUCGUGCAUUAGCAGCUUAUAAUCAAAUCGACCGACAGCGGCUCUUCGGCUCAAAGAACGCAGCAAGUUCCAACCAUCAGCAAAGUACUGCUUGUCUGCACAAUUAUGAUGUUGAAUGCCAUUUGUUAACAUUAGAACUACAUCAAAAGCAAAAGGGCAGAAAAAGGUUCUUUGUAUCUGGUUUGACUGCCAGUAGCUUUAAGAAUAGUUUAAAGGAGCUCCAUGAUCACUUAGGGUGGACAAUGAACAUGCAGUUCAGAGAUCUGGUCUCAAGAGCCUUGUAACCUAAUUAAGAAAAACCCUGGUCGAUAGAAGCAGCGGAAAACCUUGGAAGACACAGAAUGAGGUGACACCGAACAGUGUGGCACAUGGAGGGCCCUUUUGAGGAAGUGUAAUGGGGAAUCUUCAUGACAGGGAUCAUCUUUGUUUGAGGAGAGCGACUUCAUGACAUUCUCAUCUUUGACAGUGCAAUUGCUUAAAGUAUGACAACCUGACAAACAAACAUCACUCACUGGACCUUUUUGACUAAGGUCACCAACCAAGAUGCUUCUGUUUGCUUAAUGAAGCAUCAUCUCCUGUCUCAUGCCCUCGUUUCUAGGGUGAUGUUUAGUAUUGGUGAAAGUGCAUGGAUGACAGAUUUCUCUUGCAGAUUAUUCUGAUUCCAUUCGGGCGGUUUGUCCAUUUGCCGCCGUAUGAUGGAUCCACACACACACAUCAGUAAAUUAUAAGGAUGAUUUUGUUCCAAGGUAACUCCAAGAGGAGCAGCAGAACUGCUGUAUGUUAAGCUGGGAAUAGUUCUGAUGACCAGAAGAAGAUGAAGACUGCACCUCUCUCGAUGCGAUCAUGUUAUCCUGUUUCGGGUAAUGGGAAUGUCGAUCGAUGGCCUGCCUUGUACUGAUUUGUUGCAUGGAGUUACGUAGCAGUCAUGCAUGGUGAGCUGAGCUGCGGUAAAACUCCCAUGGAGAGGGAAGACGACCGACUCUCCCACGGAUUUAUCUCGAGGACAAGGACAAACCAUGCGUAAUGGUGAAGGCGACAGAGGCGACACCAACAAGCCUCCGCAGUCUCCGCUGUCACAUCGGGUUCUGAUGUGAUAAGACGGCAAAGCCAGCCGAACUUUGGGCCAACCCUAUGCCUGCAUCCUUCGCCACACCGCGUAUAUGCUUCUGCUGCCUUCAUCUGAACCUGUCAUUUCCUUCUUCCCAUGGGUUCUCUGUGCCCAUGCGUGCGACGUCAGCCCUAAUGAUUCGGUGCUGCGGUUCUUUGACCAUUCGGUCUCUCGGUCUUCCCACAUCCCCACGCUUCGCAGCGCCCCCUUCACACUGCAAUUGGACACCCAACAUAGGAAACAUUAGACUUCCAAGGUCAAUGUUGACCAAAAGAGCCCACAUCGCAUGCAAUAUUUCAUGAGAACCAUGUGGAAGAUAAAAGGUAGACGGUGUCAUUUUGGUCAUUUGAGUUUGUCCUAAGCAAAAGAAGACAGCCCCUUAUCCUCUCCAACAAAGCUAUCUAUAAAUACCUCACCCCACGCUUGUGCUGUUCAGGCAUAUGCGCAUAGUGUUCGAUCUUUUUCGAUCUUUCUCUCUCUUCUCACAUCUCUUGCACUCGCCAUGGACGGCCGGAACGGCAGCCCAAACCGCGGUCUCGCCGGCGCGGAGCCCGUGCGCUCCCGCUGGACCCCGAAGCCGGAGCAGAUCCUCAUACUGGAGUCCAUCUUCAACAGCGGCAUGGUUAACCCCCCCAAGGAUGAGACGGUGAGGAUCCGCAAGCUCCUCGAGAAGUUCGGCUCCGUCGGCGACGCCAACGUCUUCUACUGGUUCCAGAACCGGCGGUCAAGGUCCCGCCGCCGGCAGCGGCAGCUGCAAGCCGCGGGCCUCGCGGCGGAUCCCGGAGCUGCGAUGCACGCACGCCAGGUCGGUGGUGCAGCUCUGUAUGAACCGACCUCGACCGGCAUGUCAUCGAACAACUCGUCUGGUGGAGGCAGGCUCUUUGCUUGCUCUUCUUCUGCUUCUUCUUCUUCUUCUUCCUCCUCCUCAUCCUCUAGCCUUGUGGGGGAUGAUGGAGGUGCCGAUGAUCUCUUCUUCUCUCGCCAGAUGGGCUUCAUGGAGAGUUGCCAGAAUCCUUUUAUGUGCUAUCCUGACGUCGGUCCAAUGAACUAUCAGCCUGGUUAGCGCAUGGCUUUGUGCUUACUCCUUUUGCAUAAGAUUUUAGUGGGUGCUCAUUGGAGAUAUAUAGUAGUAAGAUUUACUUACACAUAUCACAACUAAAUUAGGAUUAUAUUUAUUGUUUGGUUCUCGAAUUCGACAGCUCGACAAAAAGGAUUAUGUCGACCUAAAAGCAAAUGAUUUGUGUUUCUCUGCUCAACUAAAAGCAGCUCCUUCUUUUGGAGUCAGAAAGAAGCAUGUUAUCAAGCACUCUCAGCAUCAACUAAAUCGAUCGUUUCAUGUUUUCUAUCGAUGAUGCCUGUUCUUCUCCUAAUGUCUUGUUGUUGUUUUCUUCUGUUGCAUCGAUGAGAAGCAUGCUAAAGAUUAUUUUGAGGCAAUAACAAGUGAAAUAUUGAGUUCACCAACUGCAUGUUUGAAUGCAGGGACCAUCACUGUCUUCAUCAAUGGGAUCCCAUCAGAAGUUCCAAGAGGACCUAUAGACUUGAGAGCUAUGUUUGGCCAAAAUGUGAUGCUCGUCCACUCCUCCGGAGAGCUUCUUCCCAUCAAUGAAUACGGAAUUCUACUGCAGAGCUUGCAGAUGGGUGAAAGCUACUUCUUGGUGAGCUUCUCAAAACAAUUAAUGCUUCUAAUAUCCAUUUCUCUCUCUCUUUCUCUCUCUCGCUGUGUGUGCACAUGUGUGUAUACACAUAUCUUCAUGUUUAUCCGAAGAACAAGACAUACCCCAUGGUGUGAAUAGUAGUACAUGGAAAUGUGAUCUACUUCAUUCCAGCUGAAUGAUCAGAUUUUAUAUCACAUAUAAAAGUUUUUAUCUUUAUUUGAUGCUUGUGUGUUAUUUAUGAUUUGGAACUAUAUGCUAUGCCAUCAAAAUAAGUUACUUCUUAUCCAUCUUCAAGCUUAGAAAGUCUCAAAUAUAUGAUAUUUCACUCAGAGACCAUUUAGUAUUCCAUGUUCAGUGGAGCUGAUGUUGGUCUGAACACUUCUGCUUUCAUGCAAUGAUAAAGUUCAUGAGAUAGAUUAAUAUGAUUUUUACCUCUUGACAGGUAUCAACAUCUACUUAACCCAUGAGAAAUGGCAUCAGCAGAAUCAAAUGCCUCUUCCAGUGAUCACAAUUUCAGAAGCAAUCUCACCUCUUGUCCUAAUUUAAUGAUCUACCACAUCCUUAUGUGUCUAAUUAUUACCAUGGCUGAAGCUGUUUGUAGCUUUCCUAUUAUUAUUUAUCAUUAUGGUGUUGUAUGCACUUGAUAGUGUUUGCUGGAAUACAGAAAUCUUAAUUGUAUUUGCACCUUUGUUUCUUUAAUUGCAUUGGCAGAGUGCAUCAAAAACACUACAUCUUGGAACUACAGAUCUCCCAAGUGUUCUGGAUCUUACAAUUAAUUUGAUUGAAGGAGAUCACAUAUGUAAGAGGAUGGAUGUCUGAUGUCUUCAAUAAAAUUGUAUGCUUCAAAUUAGUUUUUGUUUGGGUACAGAAGUCCACUGCAAACUCUGUUUUCAUUUUGUUGAAAGUUCAUUUCACAUUCUAUCUACAUGAGUUGCCAACUUUAGCAUUCUCUAUUACAUGUGGAUCAUCUUAUCUAAGCCUCUUUGAGCAGCAUCUAAUUUACUUUAGAGGUGAAGAGUAAAUUUCAUGACACAGUCUGAAAUUUUCAUUGCUUUUGAGACCCACAUAUUGGCCUUGUCUUUGCUACUGUUUAGGUCCUACACAGGGAUGGACAUGAAAGAGAAGUACAAUACACCACAGGAAACAGAGAUGUUUAAGACCUUGUAGUUUUCUGAUGACUAAACAAGGAACAGGUGUUCUCUUCUUGCUAAGAGGAGAGACAGGAGUUUUCUUUUGAGAAAGAAAGGGUUCAGGAACUGUUUAGAACAAUUGGUCAUAAAGAAUGCAAAUGAGCCAACAAACAAUUUUGCGGCUGAGAACAAAUGCACUGCUUUAACAUCAUUUGGUUCAUAUGAAGAAGAAGAGAUGAAAUGCUGCUCUCUCUGGUAGUUUUCAGCAGAGCAAAGUGGCCUUGAUCUCAAACAGUUCUUCACCUUUGUCUGAGCUCAACAAGACAGAGUUAAUUAUCUGAAACAAAAGCCUUGCAGAGGUUAACACAGUUGCUUCAUUCCUUCUUUUUCAUGUAUCCAAUGUAUUGUUCUACCCAAAGAUUCUUCCCUUCCAACCUGGUUUACUGAUUCAGAUUCACAUGAGGAUCUUACAUGAUCUCACAUGGAAACUUGGGGGAAAAUGUAGCGGAUAAUGAUCUCUCAGAUGCAAUCAAGGAAUCUUAAUCUUCUUAUUGACUUGAUGCAGCUGGUAAAUAAAGUUUUACAUGUCACAUUACAAGGUUGCAUUUUUGAAGUAAAACUGAACUCUACAUGAGCUUCUCAGUAGCUUCAGCCAUCUGCUGAAUUGUACAGUCUUCAAUUCGCUGCGUCUUCCCGAACUAACAUCUCUCUCGUUCCGCCUUGAGAGAGGCAUAUCAGUGUGAUGGAGAGAGCAAGCUUUGUGCAAACCACCUUCCAAAGCAGUCUCUCUUUCAUCUCUCUCCCGCCAAAACCGCACCUCAGGGAACCUCCAUCCGCUCGGGUGUUCCCCGAUCCGACACCGCGGCCGGCGCAGACCACCGCUUUGGCCGCUGUGUGGACGACGCCGAGAUCAGCAUCUUCGACGCCGAGCGCUACUACAACGAAGGCCACGACGGCAUUAGCGGGACCGUGAUUCUCGACGGAGCGGGCGAAAGGUGCAACCUUUCCACCCAUGGAGGGAGUUCUCGUUCUCCUCGACCGAUGGCUACGCGAGGCACGGCCGAACGCGUUCGUUCUACUCGACUCCGACAGGCUCGUCGGAGGCCAGCUGGAAUAGCUAGUCGGGGCUACUCUCCCACCCCGCCGUGCUCCAUCGCUGUCGCCGCGAGCGCCUUGCUCUUGAACGAACCAGCGAAGCCGCCGUCCUUCCCCGCUUGCCGUCUCUUCGGCCGCAACUGCCCGUGUUAUGGGAGGAAGUCCGUCGACGUUGAUGAGACGUGCUCGGAACCCAAGAGCUCGAUUCGCUCUGGUUCGGAUUUGAACGCGUCGUCCACCGCCAAAAAUCGCUGCUUUAGAACAGGGGAAAUGGGCCUCAAUAGCUUCCCGGACAGAGUGAUGCCGGAAGAGACCAAGAACGAGUUCGGCUUCGAGGAGAUGAUAAAGGUUAGAUAAUUCCUGGAAAUCGUCUCAAAAGUCCCAGCUUCUUAGCUAAUUUGACUCGGUCCUUGCUUCCCGCCGAAGUUGGUUGCCGGAUGGUGAAUUCCAGCAGCCUAUUCGGCUAUUCCCAUGUCUUCUCCUGCCCCGUGUUGAAUCCGUCCUCUUUGAACAACCUCGCCGAAGAACCACCACGAGAAUCUCUGGAGGUCUUCCGGCCAACCAGGCAUACCGCAGCAGCGCUGAGCACACCACCGGAUUCACAACUUGCCGCCGUGGUUUUCCCAUUCUCCGACCAGGUAAACCGCCGAAGUUUCACCCGAAUCCCCCGCCAGACGACGACGUGGCGACCUACACAAGCUCAGACCUUUUCGAGAUCGAAAACUUCUCCACCCAGACGACCUACCGCCGACCCGACUCCCUCGACUCCCGCGACCAUCUCCGUGGGGGCCUUGAGGCGGAGGUACCGCCACCGUCCAAUGCGCCCAGCGAGGCGAGCGUCGAGUGGAGCGUCACCACCGCUCCUUCCGGGAGGAGCACGAGCGCUGCGCCGCCACGGGGGGGAGGCGGAGAUGCCGCGGUCUUCUGAGCUGCCGAAACGGCAAGGCGGUCAGCGUCGGCCCAAUCCCGCUGCGAUUAACAUCUCCGGUCGGAUCGAAUGCGGUGCGCAAACCCAAACCCGGUUCGAACGCCCUAAACCGGUCGGAGGCGGUUUAGAAGUCCAAAGUGACGUGUGUUGUCAUGAUUUCUAUUUGGAUUCUCUCAUUAAUAAUAAUCUAAUGCUGAAAAUUAUUGGAUUCUCUCAUUAAUAAUAAUCUAAUGCUGAAAAUUAUUGACUUUCGUAAUCUCUCUCUCUCUCUCUCUCUCUCUCUCUCUCUCUCUAUGUUUAUAACGUUUAGAUACUGCUAUUUAAUCUAUUGACUGUAUGCUGUGUGUCCUGCGGAGUACACAUCUUGUGACACGUACACCAACACGAAGGUAACUCCAACAAGGCCAAAUACCCUCAACUUUGUGCUGCUACAGCUAUCGAUUUCCAGAUUCAAUGUGUCACCGUCUUGUUAUACCUGCCUGCAUUGACAACACUGCUUGAUUAGAUUUCCAUGGCUGCACGACACCUGUUUGUAUAAAUGCACCAUCCAGCACCAGGCUAACAGAAGACUCCAAACAGGUGGGUCUCAAUCAGAUUCCACGUUGCCCCCGAAUCAUGGAAGGGUUUGAUGUGGUUCUUGAGCUUAGAGAAGACCACCUCCAUGAAUCAUGUCAUUUUGCUCACCUAACUGGCAUGUGGACCCAGCCUCAUGUCUCUCUGGAGCAGGACAAGCAGUCUGGAAACAGAUCCAUGCUUCUUUGGGUACGAGGAUAUAUGAUUCUGCUUUGCACCUUCACAUGUGGGUGACCUGCUCAGGGCCUACUGAUAUGGGGUAAACCUUUAAUCUUUUACUCGAUUUGAAGAAUGAGUUGAACAACCAUGACUUCUGAAACUUGCAUGUUUUAGUUACUGUACAUAUAUUUUGUUUACAUUGUGUUGUUGCUGGUUGUUCUUCUGGUCACUAUUUUGACAUUAGUUAUCUGUAGUGUCAUGACCAAAAGUAUCUUGAGUUGCAUUCUAGUGACAUAUAUCUAUAUGUAUAUAUUCAGCUUUUUGGAAUAAUUAUAGUUCUAGUUCAGUUCACAAUCACAGCUAAAGCUUUGCCUAUUGUAUGUGCAUCAAUCAUGCAUAAUACAGAAUUUCUGUAUAAUCAAUGCAUUUGUACCUGAAGUAGAAAUGUGAUGCUUUCAGAUUGUGUGCGCGCGCCAUGGAAUAGUUAUACUUCAUGGGUAGUUAGUACUUGAAACAUUUACCAGCUUCCGGUGCUAUCUAAAAGAAAUAGAAGAAGAAAAAUCUUAUCCAUGUUAGUUUGAACAGAACUAAGAACUCACAAAAAUGACUGCUUACAGUUGUGCCAUAAGUUUCUCAACCAUCCACAAUAACCUUUCUGAGAUGCAGAGAACUUACAUGUUUUAGAUGAGUAGGUUGGCUGGAUAUAGAUUAUAAGUUUGAUACUCCCUUAAUUUUGAAAGAUUUUGUAGCAGUAGCCUCAGAGUAACAGCACUCCAGUGAAAUGAACCGUCCAGGCAGUAAACUAUAGAUGUUUUGCUAAGGAAAGAAGGAAAAAAGUAUACCAUACGAUCGAUGGAUUUGACAUUGUCCAACCCUCACAAACAAUGAACCACACCAUUGCUAUUGGACUGAUUUUUAUCUGGUUUUCCCUUUUGUGAGCUGGUUUCAUGAUCGCAUUCACAUUACAAAAUUGCCUGAACAAUGACUCUUUGAUAUCUAAUACAUUGUUUUAGAUAUUGAAGAACCAAUCAUUCUGAUGCCAUGUUGUUGACAUUGAAAUAAGGGUAACAUAAAUCUCCAGUUCUGAAGACUCUCAUCAUUAUAUUGUUAGUUGUUUCAUUUAUUCUAGUGUAGAUUACAUAAUACAAUGUGAUCAUUAUAUGUUGAGGGAGAUUAAGAUAUUAUAAAGGCCAUCCAUGAGUUUGGUCCCUUCAUGAGGUAGUUCCUGCACAGUCUAGUUAUUACUGUUUUAUGAGAAUUAAAAGAGAGGGACAUUAAUUCCCACACAGAAUACCUGGUCAAACACUUGGGCUCUUGAACCUUUAAAAUUAUCAUCUUAAUAUAUGUUCUGAAGUUGAUUUAUGCAUCAUGACUUGCACUAGUGGAGCAACCAAUCCACUAGUAGACAAGCAAAUUAGCACCAAACAAACCAAUACCUGAACGCACUACUUCUUGCAAGAUGGAGAGUCAAUUAAACAUUCACAGAGAGACGAGAAGUAGUAUUGCAAAUUAAACCUGUCACAAACUACUACUCUUACUCCUGUAAUUAAUACACAGUAAGAGGCACAGUUCUUAGAGGUUCCAAUCCUUUUUGUUCUGCAUUUUUUUGCAAUUUAGUGGUUUUAACUUUGUCUCAGAAAAAGAAAAACACUAUUUUAUCUUUUGUUUUAUAGUUAGAGCUGAUGCUCCCUCUUCAGAACCAAACAUGGGCCAAGAAAUCGGAAGACUUUCUACUCUGUGUCAGCUUGAUGGUCUACAGUAGUGGAUAACUGUAGGGAUUAUUAGCCCAGGAGUACCCACAUGAAACCUUGUCUUGAAUUCCAUGGUGAAGGUUCUAUUGUGGCACUCCUGAUGACACACAAUAAAGGUCACUAAUAUCUAUAAAGACAUCAAUUACAGUUUAAAUCAUAGCUUAAAAGAAUUAUAAAUGACAGAAUUUUUGUAGGUUGAUAGGUUUAAUUGCUACAAUGUUGACAAAAUCAACACUUAAUAAGUAUAUGUUCUCUAACCUAUGGUGUUCCUCUAAUUAAAUUGAAAGUUGUAGAAAGCCACUUUGCUGACUUCAGCUCUAAGCAGAUAAUGCAUGUUGUUUAUAGUUGCUCAUCAGCCAAUUAGGAUGUAAUUCUAGAGCUAAAUGUAAACCACAUCUCUGUAAGUCAUACAUGUUGGAAUUGAAUUCUUUAUCUAGAACUGAACUUUCAUAUAGAUUAUUAGCUCACAUCCUUAUCAAAUGAGUCAUUUAGUAAUCAAGUGUCCAUGUUGUUGAUGCUGAAACUUCUCUGACACAGUCUAAACCUUAGAGACAUGUUCUUUGAGUUUAUCUGCAGAUCACAGCAAUGAGGGCCAAGAGAUGUUAUAUUCUGAUCAUGUAUUGGACCAACAGAAAAUUAUAUCCAAUCAAUGUCUGCCAAAGAAAGAAAACCACAGUUGAGGACAAGAUGGGUCUGAGCAAAACCAGUGGCUGUAGUGUGUUUGCAGCCACUGAUGAAAGCAAUCCUCCUAUCACAUCUUGAACAACUGGGACUGGAAUGGGCUGUCACUUGCUAUAUAAAGGUUUGCUUAUAGAAUCUUUCUUCCCCAGUAUGCAUAGGAUGAAGUGAUAGUUAGGUUCAGACCAAUAGAAUUUGUGUUCUCUAAUCUCUUUGGACCAGUCUCCCAUUUUGAUCAAAUUUUUGACAUGAUUAUAGAAGUGGAAUACAUAUUAAAAUGAAUCAAAUGAUGAUAGUGUUACAUGUAAAAGACACCAUACAGUCACAUCUCAAGGGACUUGAAUGUGUAUUAACUCUUCAAGCUCUCAAAGGGAGCCACAUAUUUUGGAAUGUGCCCCUUGAGCAUAUCCUCAAGGUGGCCCAUGCACAACUCUACCCUGUUCAUAUAUGGCUCCAAGUUGACUGACCUCAUCCUCAUCAUUUACAAGAACAUUUCACGUGUUGCAGAAAUGCUAUGCUUCUCACAGAAAUCUCAAUCUCAACCUUUUGGAUUGCCCCUUCCCUAGCAUGGCCCUCCUGAGUCAUGAAGUAAUAAGAUCAUAUCUAAUCUCAUGUUAAUUUUGAGAGUUAGAAAAUCAAGAUGUUGUAAGGGGUCCAUCCUAGAACAGACACUUCCUUGCGAGUUUCUGUGCUCGUAAUGAUGAAAACAAAUAAUGAUUUAUGUCAUGAUAUAUGAGAGAAACAUUGAUCCCGAAACGAAGGGAGUUUUGAUAAGAUCAUAUUUAGUCUCAUAUUAGUUAUGUCUCUAUCUCCUAGAGUUUGGGGGGCUUAUCCUAGAGCGGAUAAUUCCUAGGGUGCUUGCACCAGAUAAAACCUAUCUCUAAGAAGAAGAGUCACAUCAGGAAGGUCAGGUAGGACUUGGCAGGUUUUAAAAGGCACUUUAAGACUUUGAGCUGCCAAACUUUGCUUUAUCAACAGCACUGCAGAACAGGAGGAAUUAGAUGGCCUAUGCAACAUCAAGCAUUGUGGUGAGUUUUGAGAUAUGGGGACUAACAGCAACAACAUGAAGUUGUGCUUCAGAAGGUUUUCUCCCAACCUUCAUAAAUCAAGCGAUAAUUGGAACAUCCAUAAGGUAAUAAUAACCAGAGCACAUAAAUCAAAGACUUUAUUCAAGUAUUUUCAGCUGGAUUAAGUCCAUAAGGCAAUAGUAAUACUGAAUUGAACAAGGUAUAGAAAGGUAUGACAGUCAUACCUUCCGAUGAAGACAUUUAGGCACAAGAAUCAUUUGUUUGUAACCAAUACUAGAAGCCAAUAAAGUUAUGCAAAACAAUCCAUAUUGACCUAAACAACAGCAAAAUUACAUUUUAAUUACCACAACAUAAAGUUUAUACAUAAGUUGUCUAUCGAGAUUCUAUUGAGAGAUUGGAUCAAACUACUUGGUUCAUCAGUUCCUGCGAUUCAUACAAACCCUACAACAUGUACUCUCUCCAAGUCACUCUGAAAUACUAAUUCUUGCAUGGUCUACUAAAGAAGAAGAAACUGUGAUAUAGUGCAGCGAGAUCACCUGAACACGAGGUUUCUAUAUUGAGAAUCUACUCCACUGCAUCUUGCACGAUACUUUGAUCAUAUGAUCCAUUGGCUCAUAUUAUCUUGGUCAGGUCAUGACCACUUAUUUCAGUAGAACCAGCUGGAUCCAUCAUGCUUCUGCAGCGAACCCCCCAUUCCUCUCUGCGAUACAUCAGAAUAAUCCAUUGCAGGUAUGUUUAAGCCAGAUCUGAAUCUGAAGCCACCACUUAAUUCAUUGGGUUGGUUGCUGAAUUGUUGCCCGAAUGGCAUCAUGUCCUCACGGAGGAAGAACUGAGGUUGCUGAACCAAGCUGCCAACUUGUUCGAAGAGACUGCCACCCGUUCCUGUCUCCUGCCUGAAGAAGUUGUCUUCCAUCUGAAUUCUGCUCUGGAGAGAAUUUGACCCUUCCAACACAGAAACGCUUCCCAAAGUCAAGCUCUUGUUACCAUUAACAUUGUUGUCAUAGAAACCCAUCAACUCAUUGAUCGACUUUUGUCCAUCAGAAGGAAUUCCCAAAUCAGAGACAUGUACAGGAUUGAGGCUUGACCCGAGCCGAGUUGCAUUAGGUUGAGCAUUCGAUGACAUAGGAACAACCGGGGGCUUGCUCUCAUUCACCUGAAAGUUGUCAGAUAGCAUUGUGAGAGAUUGAGGAAAUGUGUUCUGAUACUUGCAGAGGUACUGGUGUCUGUUUCGAGCAUUCCUGUCUGUAAAUCCUUGGCGAAAAUCAUGGUGUGGGCACUUUGCAUUAUCGCAGGUGUAAACGCGCUGGUUCAGCAUCAGUUGUGGCUCAGCAGCAGUUCUCUUUUGGAUGAAAUCACAGUUGAUCUCUUCUUUCAUUGGCACGGAGAUGACAAACUUCUCGUUCCCCAUGGUUGCACUCAGGCUAAAAGUAUUUCCAUCAGCAGCAGGAUUCUGAAUUACUGCAUCCUCGCUCUUGCCUUCAUCAGCACCUUCUAUAUCAUAAUCGCUGCAGCUGCUGUUGAAGGAGAUGGCACUCCCGGAGGAUGGGGGAGGGCAAGUAUUCGGGUGCAGCUUCAAAUACACAUCCUCUUCCUGCUUCACAACAGCAAGCCAUGUUGCGAUCUCCUUAGCAGUCAUCUUGUCUUGAAGACACUUAGACUGCCUGACUAGCCGACGAAUCUUUUCGAUAUCAGGAGACAUAUGCUUGAUCACCGCAGUCAAGACGCUAACUUUCCAAGCCUUCUUCAGAUCAUGUGGUUUCUUGUAGGGUGGCGGGCCCUGAUCUUUCGGAAAACCCAAUUCAGGCCACCACUCCUCCCUUCCAGUAGGCCACCACGGCGGUGCAACUCCCUUCUCCAGGGGGAACCUCCGCUGUGGUGGGUCGCAGUGCUGCAUAAGAGCUGACAGGAGAGAGCCCAACGUGGUGUCCUGAAGCUCCUGCAAAGAAUGAGGGCUCACAGUCCCAGGGAUCGUCUCACUACUGGAUCCAGGGAUGGCAUUAUCGGCCUGGUACUUGGCUAUAGCCGCAGGUCCGUUCCUGUCAAACCUGACCUUCUCCUUCCACCAACCUCUAAGGUUGUCAGAGGCGCCGCUAACCGGUUUGCCCUUCUCUGGAAUAAUACCAUAAACGAAUCCCUGAGCUUGGCAUACCUCCAUCAUUUUCAGCAUGUACUUAAGGAUCCCGUCCUGUGCACGAGACAUCUUCUUUCGACGGGCUUGCUCCUGCGACUGAUGCUGCUUUGCCGUGUCCCCUUGCUCCUUGUUUUUGUUCUGUUGUUGUUCCCUCAAACGCUUCAAACGCAUCCGAUCCCUCCACAUGCGUCGUUCGAGCUCUUCUACGUCGAUAUCUUCAUCACUUUCUUCAUCACCAGCCUCAGCAAAGUUUUCGGGAGGAGGAUCUACCAGGUCUCCCUCUCCCACUAUGCAUUCACCCAAUGAAGGCUGAUGGAGGAGGCUACCAUAACUAAGAUUCUUCUCAUCAUUCGAGGCGAAAAGUUGCGCGUAAUUAGGACCUCCAGGAUACACCAUGCCCUCCAUUAAUAGCCCCCCCAUCAUCGCUAUCAGCCGAGGCGAUCGGAUCAGGUCUAUGUACUCGGAGUCGAAUGGCAGAUGCAAUAUUCACUGCAAGAGCAUGAGAAAUAAAGUUCAGGCAGCGGUAAUCCUCAACCAUAUCACGCUGUCGGGUGAUAUUAUUAUCUAGAAAACAUGUGACAUUAAGCAAUUUGAUGAAAACACAUGAUGAAUUUUCUUAACUUAGCCAAAGAAUCUAUUCCCGUAUCGCCAAAGUUAAUAUGCAUUUAUUAAAUUCAUUACAUGGAAAUCAAGAAUCAUCACGUUUUCCACAAGUAACAUAAAUGAGAAACAUGCUCCGCGAGUUCAUCUCGGAAGAAAUAUAUUUUGUAGAUGGCAUUAGUAGUAAGUAGUCUACGACAAGCAACCAACAAAGGUCGUUCAAGGAAACAAUUCGGUUCAGCAUCUCGCCGGGCACAUAGAAAGAUACAGUGCGAGAAAAUACUUUCUAAACAGAUCUUAAAACACAAAGAAUUCUAUAAGCUACUCUCUAUCCGAAAACGACAAACGCAGAUUAGAACAGCAAGCUUUACAGCCACAGCUCAUGAUUUAUGAUCCUCGUAAAAGAAUCGGCAUCAGAUCUGAUCCGCCAAAUUCUUGAUCAGAACAAUUGACAAUUCCCGAUGAUCAAUUAUUACUGUAAAUUGAGAAUCACUACCACCAACCAAUUGCCUUAUUUUAUGUGGAUCAGAGAAUGAUCAGAAGGCCAUGUUUCAAGAUCAGAAAAAGGAUAAGGCAACCUUUGUCUCCACAUAGUGUUACUAAUACUGAACAAGCACAUGAACAGUUCCCAAUCCAGCAUAAAGAUUAUAUUCCAUUGUCAUACAAAUUCAACAAGAUGCAGCAAAAUCAAUCAAAAGAUAACAUCCCCCUUUACCGAAUCUAAGAAAGAAAACAUCUAUGAAAGACCCAGCAGGAACAGUACAAUGAAUAUAGGAAACAUAGACAAAUAGAUGAACACCUUGUUGCUUACCAUAGAACAUGUAAAAGGAAGGAAGGAAAACUAACAAUAUCCCAAUCAGUAUGAAACGAAAAUGGAAGUAAAUUUGGCCACAUAAACAAGUAUCCAAGUUUCAAAUCCAUUCCCGAGAUCAAACAGAACCAAUAUGCUCAUCAGCUCGGUGGAUCUUAUCAGAUGCAACAUGAUAUAGAGGUGGAGAUUUUGUAUGCAAGACAGCAGGAAAUAACGAAGAUGAGAAGAAGCAGAAGAAGAACAUGCACAAACUUCACUCAGAACUUCUCUUCCUCACUGAGACCCAAAAAGGGACUCUAAUUCGUGUCUUUAGAUCGAACUAAAUCCUUUCUGCUUGUGGCGAAUGAAGCAAGCACUAAAUUGCCGAAAAAAUCUGUUUUUUCUCUUGUAGAAAACAAAAAAAAGGAAAAAAAAAUGUCAACUUUGAAGGAUUUUGUUGAGAGUUUUAUCGAUUCGUUUCAUUAUCGCUUUAAGUUUUCAACAGCAACAGAGAGAUAGAAAGACAAGAAAAGCAGAGAGAUCGAUGAUCUGUAGAAAAAACAGGGGAAGGAAAGGCUUGGAGCAACCAAAUCGACGCCAGAAUCCUUAAACCACCGAUCCACAGAAGGCAGAGAAGAAAGCAAGCAACCCUAGAGAUCAAAGUAGAAAUCUCAGCUACUCUCGAAAACCGAGAAAAGAAAAGGAAGAGCUGACUACGAGAAAGCCGAAACCAAACAGAGGUAGAAAUCAAUCGAAAAAGGAGUCGCCUUUACGAGCCAGGAGGACGCAAAAUCGCACCUUUUAGCUUCUAUCCCCGCUUCUGGUCUCCCCUUACGCCAAUAUUAGCCCAUACUCGCUCAUCUCCAACUCCGAGCAAAUUUUAGAUGGGCAACAGAGAUCACAGAUUUUUUAUUAGAGGAGGAAAGAAGCGGAGCUGGUGCUCUUCCCUUCCGCCGCUUUAUAGCCGUUCACUCUUCUUUGCCUCUUGCGUUCUCUCUCUUCCUUUUUCUCUCCGUUUCUCGCCAGUGGAAGGUGGGCUUGUCGGGGUCGCAUGUGAAACGAUAGAGGUCGCUGAUAUCGACGGGAGAGAGAGAGAGAGAACGGGUUAAAAAGAAAGAAGGAAAUGCUAAGUGAUGUGAGGUUGAUUGGAUGUGGAUAAAAGUUGUCCAGUAGUGGAGACGGAAAUCUAAGACGGAGCCAAAAGCCUACAGUGAUGGAGUCGACGUUGCUGCAAUGCCUGCCUUCCUGGAGUCUUCCCCUGGAUUCAUUGAAUGCCAUGGAUUGCACUGCCUGCCACUGCUCCAGGAGGGGAUCAAAAAUGAGGUUGGUGGUAAUCAUCAGACACCAAAAAGCAAUCUUUCUAACUUCAUCUUCUGCAGAUUUUGUUCAUCUUGAUACCAGUCUCAGAGUGCCGACAACUGGCUGUUCCAAGAAGGCCCUCCUACAUGAACACCUUCCAACAGCUCAAACAUGCAAGAAAUCCAGAGUUCCGAGUUAAAUCCUGCUCUUCUGUUUCAGAACAAUGGUUGAAGAUAAAUUGUCAUAUCAUACUCAGGCUGUGUGUGAUGUAGUAACCAACCAAGGAACCAUUUUCUUCACAUUAUUGGAUCAGAAGUGUACCUCUCUGGUAAACACCCAAUUAACUAUUCAGAUACAAAUAAUCCUAUGCUCGAAAGGAUGGGAAGAAAUUAUUUCUAACCAGUGAUACAUUACACAAGAAAUACCAAAAGAUUCUACAAGUUUUAUGGAUCCUAAAUAGUCGCAAUGUAAAUGUCUUUGCAGGGUAUAUACACCACUUAUUAUUUGAGGACUUGUAGCAUUCAGUUGAAUUUUUGUACCAUUCAUUCAACAUUAAAUUUGGACCAUAUGGAAAGGGGGAAGAGAAAAAGCUGGCCAGUCUUGACUAAGCUUGUGUGGCCUGCCUCAUGAUGAAGACUUCGAUGAUAAGAAUGGAAGGCAUGUGCAAUGGGACUCCGUGGCAGCAGGCGACAUCAAGACAUUGACACCCAAAUUGAGGUAUUGGACCACUAAAAUGCUGCAGUCUUCCCAUGUCGACGUACCACAAGCCACAAACAAGAAGGCCAGAGUUGUGAGCAGUAGUAGGAACUCGGUGCCGACUGGGACAAGAGUGUGGAUUUAAUGCCCUUAAAUGAGCUAAGAUUGUUGUGUUUUUGCUGCUGCUGCUGCUGUAAGGGAGAUGAAGAUUACAUUACAUCCUCUGGGGAUGAUCAACUUGGGAAUUUUAUUAUCUUUUUUCUGUUUAUGUUUCUGAUUAGGUGUUUCAUCCACUUUUUUGUGUGGAUGAGAUGGUCUCUCUCUCUCUCUCUGUGCAUCUGUGUAUCUAUCUAUACUUUAAUGCAGGGCGAAGUAGAGAUUUAGGUGUCGGCAGGGGCUAAACAUGGGAAAUGUUUGAAUUGUUGUUUUCUUGUUUACUUUGGAUUGCAUUUCCAACCAAAACCUGUGUUCAUCAAAGAGUAAGAAGAUGCCAAGAAAUUAUCAUAUUAGAGCUUCCCAAAAUGAACAAAGAAGUGAAUUCUUAUUAGUCAGAUGCUUACUGGUUCUUGAAGUCGACUCGAUCUUGAUUACAAGCAUGGCAUUUGGUGGGUGUGGAUUCAGUUGGACUCCCUCAUCUUGACUAGAAUUCUCCAGCAAUAAUAACACAGGAUCCUGUGGAAAAGCAAAUUGUUCCUACUCUUUUGUCUGAAUUGGAUGGUACAAGUGUAAAAGGUUUGCCAUCCAUUUCCUUUUGAUCAAGGAAAGAAAUCUUUGGUGAUGAAGCAGCACAUACAAAGGAAGAAUACAUUGUGAGAUGAGAGCAAGGAUUGUUUAGCAUCCUUCAGCAAAGCAAAAAAAUUGAGGCUCUCAUUAAAUUCUUCUCGAGUAAAGGAACAUAAAAAAAAAGAUUUUGAGUAAGAUCAGUGAUUUCUUCAGCUUACUCUUGAACUUGAUAGAUAAUAUGAUGAUUAGUUAUAAGAUCAUUGAAGAAUUUUAUUUGAUACACCUCCUACCACCAAAAUAGAUCUACAAUUAGAAAACCAAACUGCAGCAGAUACACAUGUUGUUCUGUCCUAUCUUCUAGUAGUAGUCCAGCCACCCCCAUUUUGUCAUGACAGAUAGGAAAACAUACAGAGGAUGACAUGAUUUAGAUGAUUGAAUUUUGUAUGCCUUUGCACAUGAUUCUUAUUACUAAAAGUAUAAGAUGAUUGAGAGACCCUCAGAAUUCAGUCCACAUCAUUUAUCAGUUGCACUUGUCUACAGAUGAUGAAUUUCUAGAUUCAAAUUACAGCAGGUCAAAAUGUUCUUGCCUACAAAAUAUUUCAAGCUGAAAUGGCAUUUGGUUGCAAACCAUUAGCCCCAAUGCAUAGGGAGGAUAUAUCAAGAAUGAGCUCUCAAGAUGCAGAAGGUGAUGUUCUUGCCUGCACCAAGCCUCACCUUACCAGUAAUAUAUCUGAGAAGUUCAGCAUCUGAUCCAAUCAUUUUGAGACCUAGCAGAUGGCAUCUGUCAUCUGAACAUAAAAAAAGAAAUAUUGUGAUGGAAAAAUGCAACAAAAUAAUAUUUUAUUCUUCGUUCUCUGAAGCCUGUUGGAUGGAGCUGAACACAUUGCAGACAUGAUGAAAUAAAUAUCAGGGAUCAAGCCAUGUGCAACUAAAAAAGAAUGUCUUAGAGAAACUAAAAGAAAUGUCUUCCUGCAGUGCUGCACCCUGAUCAUGGCAAUGCACCAAAGAUGUUAAUUAAUUGCAGUGCAUUAAAAUUUUGUGAGUUACCUUUUUAUUGCUUCAUGGAGGGAAUUCAGUUCUAUGAUUGAUUUUUGUUUAGUUUCUAUGUAACAAAACUAUUACAAUCACAAGUUUCCCUAAACCAAACUUACAUUUAAAGGUCCAAAAGACCAGUCUCAUCGACCAUUUGAUUUUGUGCUGAAGGUUAAAGAGAAAAAUUCUAAGCUAGUUUUACGGUAUCGCCGUCUUGACACAGUUAGCCUUGUCUGUUCAGUGAAGAUCAAGGAUCAUCCAUAGCUCUCUCCUAAGUUUCUUCUGAUACAAAACUCUGAAGUUGUUUGAAGAAAUAGUUUAAUAUCACUUGCUAAAUCUGGAGGUUCUUGGGCUUUGAAAUAAUGAUUUAAUUGGAACCUUUUCUAAUAUGCUUCACUUGUGCAUUCCAUAAGUAUUCAUGGUUGGAGUCGAAAGGAUGAUACUAACUUGCUUUGGUUGACAACAACUCUUCAUCAGAUAAUGUUGACAGUUGAUUAGCAUACACAUCAAAGAUUGCUAAUUGCAAUCACACAACUUGCUUAUAGUUUAAUUCCAAACAAAAUGAAUUUUUAGCUUCAAAGCAGAAAUCAAACUAAUCUAGUGUUGAACUAUUCGUCCCGAACUCGUACGACAGAAACAAAAGAUGGUGUGAUUGUUUUCGGUCAACCAAAUCAAAUUUUAGAUGCAAUUUAGUCAAUCUAAACGAUCUGUUCAGGGUCGACUAAAAUAGAAGGCCAACUCAAAUUCUGCUCAAGAUAAACCACAAUAUUUUUAGCAGAAUUUUGAUGCCACAUUCAGGAUCAAGUAGAUAAAAAGAACUCAUCAUUUGGUCCCUGUGAAAGAUCAGGAAGAACGACGUAUGGUUUAGAUGAAGUCAUUAAGCUAUAAAAGGUAAAAGCCAAAAGAUCGUGCCAAAGUAUACCGGUAAUGCGUAAACUUAUGCAUUCUGAAUCAAGAAGGAAUCUAAUGAAGAAAGUGAGGUGGAUUGAUGUACUCCACAAUUAUGCAACAGGCAGUAUGGACAUGUAGUUAAAUAGACUUGAAGAACAAAGUAAAUCACCACCGAGAGGAAAAAUCAUGAAUUUCUGAAAGCAAGAACAGUUAACGUGCAAAUCCACCAUAAUAGUCAUAAACCAAGUUGAUACAAACUCCGUUCUUAUCGUGUUCUCACAUAAGAGGGUUUAGUCGAAGACAAUCAGGUUGAUGUGAGUUAUCAUGCGAUUAAACACACGAAUCUCUGAAUCAAUAUAUGCAAGUCACAAUAGCAUUUCUGUGAGAUGAUCAGCAAUAUAUUCCUAAGGUUGUUCUCCAUGUCAUUCAACUGAAGCAGUAUGAAGAAGGCUAGGUAGCCACGAAUGAUAACAAGGAGCACUCCAAGAGAAUGACAGCAAGGUGAGCUUUGUUUGAUGCUUGCCAAACGGAAGAAACAAAGCAUAGUGCAUGUGUGAUGUGUGUCUCCAGAUUCUAGUUCAUCUCUUUGGCUCACUGCCCCAGAGACCUCAUAGUACUCUUUAAACUUUUAUGGCACAUGCCAUAGAACCUGAGAAGAUGCAAUUUAAGAUGUUUGAGGAACAAAGACAUGUGGGAGAUUGUGAGAGAGAGGAUUAAACUAAACAGGAGAUGUAUAAAGGGUUGAUGCUCAUUAGAUCUCUCAAGAUUUGGUUGUAUCCCUGUUCCCUCGGUCCAUUGCAUUGUCUCAAAGCUUGGUGAUGCCAGCAAUGAUAUUUAAUACAGGAAGCAAAUGGCUCAGGAGAGCAUGGGAAGCAAAACCAAACAUGUCCAUGUUCACACCCCUGUUUGGCUGUAUUUUUUGGGCUCCUCCCUAAUUGACUGUCAUGCGUUCGUAUUAUCUUAACUUUAGGGAACAUUUGCACUGUGACUCUGUUAAGAUGAGCUCUGUGGGGCUCUCUCUUGCAGAAUCACAGGACAAGGGGUUGGCCAUUAGUCAGAACAUAUUAUGUUGUUGUUGUUGAGUCUUCUUUUCCUUGGUGUCGUCGAGUGCCCACCAAAGAAAAGCUAUACUGCCACUGAUACUUCUUUUCUUUGCUCCCAUAUUGCUGCAACUACUCUUAGUUGCCACUUUGGCGGUGACCCUAUUGUUUUGCUUUCCUCUACCACCAUGGAUCAGAACAACUAAGAAAAAUGGAACUCUCUAAGACAAAUUACAUUUGUGCAUAUUGAUGUAACUAUGGAGCCACCAUCGUUACUGUCAAGAUGAUUCAUGUCAGCACACGUUAUUGGAUUACGAACGUAACUUGUUCACAUAGCAACAUACGAUCGAUUCUUAUAGUAAGCAAAUGGCUCUCCUCAGGCUGACACGAUUUAUUUGGUGCAUACAUGGCAAGCGUUGGCUUGGAUUAUAAAGGUUCAAUGAAAACACGGAUGCUCAGGAAAGGGAGCAGAUUCCUUGCUGGCUAUGUUGCCGGAAAGCCAAUCAAGUCCCUCGUACAAACCCUCACCAGAUGUUGCACAAGUUCUCUGUAUAUACCUGCGCAUAAUAAGUCCAGAAAUCCUCAUCUCCUUCUUCGCAAACAGGCAGCUAAAGAGUUUUGCAAAGGUAAGCCCCAUCGUUUUCUUCGCUAUCAGAAGCGAACCAUACACCCACGGAUCUAAGCAAGAACACGAAUGGCGCAUUGGAUUUGGCCAAGAAAUCAAGUUCAAGAUAUUAAAGAGGGGCAAAAUACUACAAGGUCUACACGAAUAGGUUGCGAUCCGAAAUCAACAAGGAGAAAAAGAGACUGGCCAACCGAUCAAUCAAGAAUCUCCAAACUAAAGGCAUCUGCGAUUCAAAAGGACUGUAACCGAUACUCAAAGCGAUCUUCUGAGCCAACAACCAAGAAAUAGAGGAGGGAGUUGUGGCUACCUGAGAUCUCGAAGGCCGGAUGGCGGAGGAGGCGAGGAUCAAGAGGGGUCUCCGCUUCCGCUCCUCGGCAUUGAGGGGAGAAAAGGUAAUUAACUAAAACAGAAUCUCCCAACUUAGAGGACAAUUCGAGGGACGAAGGAAGUCGGCAGGGACAGUGCGCUCGAUGUAGGCCACAUCCUCCAGUCAUGUACUCAGUCGGGGCAAACGUUAUCUAACAGACUGUUACAAGUAAUUAUCAGUUGUUGCAGUCAUAUAAUUCGGUCACAAGUAAACCCCUCAUCUAACAGACAGUUUUGUGUUAAAUUUGAUUCAAAUUAUCAAAUGAUUUAAGUUAAUCCUCAGACCAAGUGUCAGAUUUAUUCUCAUAAACGCAGAUCCAUACUACCGGCCAAAAGAUAAAUCAUCUGAAAUGGUCCAAAGACAUCAACUCUUACUUGGGACACUGAUGAACACAUUUUAUGCAUGAAAAUUCCAGAAAACUGAUAAUUUCUCACAGGCUACAGUACCACACCAAGUUUCUAAUACAUAAAACUCAGCACCGUAUGAUAUCAAAACAAAACAAUUGACACACGUACAUAUGUAGGUCAUCAUAAUCUUUAUAAGAUGUAAUACUUGCUUGAAUGAUGCUGGAAGAAUUGUCUUUUGAGAUCAUUAGAUAACACCAAUGAGAACACAUCAAUAAAUUUCAUGAAUAGAAAACAAAAAAGAAUAUCAACCAGUUAGUUUCUAUAUGAAUUCCUCAACACCAGUUCAAAGGUUGCCUUACCAGUUAGGUUAGUAGGCACAAAUACCACAACCACAAUUAUUCUUUUGAACCCUCGACAUCCAACUUGUGCUGGUUAUGAGCACAAGAAAGUGGGCGAGUGAUGAACUGGCAACUGAACAAUCAUAUAUCAAGUCCUGUUUCAUCCUCACAAAUUUGGAUUCAAUCAUAUCUUUUGAAAUAAUUAUCUCACUGCCGACAGCCAAGUUUGAUAAAUAGCAUUAAUCAAGAACGAACAGAUCAGUCAUAUAUCUCAUCAUCCCCACAUAAAUGACUAACCAUGCAUAUUAAAGAACACAUUUUUCCCUUUUACCUUGACGCAUGCAUCAUCUCUAUCACCAACUUGAGAAUGACCAAGCAAUUUACAUAACCUGCAUGUUUCACGCACUGUAGAAAAUUCUUGCUGUAAAGGAAUUCCCCAUUAUGUUAUAAACAUUUUCAGUAAAUAAUAAUUAGCCAUUAAUACUAGUUUCAAAAGGAAAAGUGAACAUUUGUUUUAUGCCACCGCAAAUUUCAAACUGUGGCAUGGCCCAUAGAAGAUCAACUCCCAACAACAACCAAUACUCCAAGGAUGCCACAAAUCGACCAACAGCCUCAUCUAAUCUUGGGAAAAUCUGGUUUAAUUUCUAACAAAUGGGGUUAAAGAUGAAAGACAGCACCCUAGAAGAGUAAAUAAUUUCAGGCGGGUUUGCAUAUCUUAUAGCUAAAGCAUAGAUAUACCACAAAAAAUCAUCCUUCAAAAACUUCUUCAAAUGUCAUUACGAAAAGAUCUAAACAACGGAGACAAAAUCCUCAGCAAUCAAUCAAUUCCAUAAUUACCUACAAACAAUCAAUCAAUUAGCUUCAUAAGACCUUAUGCAUUUAGUUUCACCUAAAGAAACAGCAUUCCAAAAUACCACUGCAAAUCUUCUAUCUACAUUUUGAAACCAAGACUUCCAAAUUUAUUUGUCUUUAAAGGGUGAUCCAGUGCUUAAUUUAGAAAUCACUAAAAGAGCAUUAAAAAUGAUCUUAGUGUUCCGACUGAUUCUGAAAAUCAUUAAACACAUUUCCACUAAAAUCUUCAGUUAUUUUCAAAGGAGAAAUAACGUCAAAUUGAUAUGAUGGACAUGUCUAACAUCUACAGAAACAUCACAAGCACCAAAUAUUAUUUCCAUAGGCUCUCCAAAAGGGAGAAAUUUUUCUAAACAAUAAAAAAAAUAACAACAAAAUCAAACUAAUUUUUUUUUCUGUCAACACAUGCUAUCUAACUGUUAGAUAUUUUUUACUGGGUCAUAUCUUUUUAAAUACCCAAAAAAUGAUUCAAAUAACCUUCAGCCAUUUCAUCCUACUCCUUGACUCCCAGCUGAAUUUUGUUAAACUUAGUGAUCUACAAAGACUAAUGUUCAUCAUUACAAAAAAGUGACAGCAAUGAAAACUUUAAACCACUUGAUGUUCUAGCUUCAUACCUCAUGCUGUGAUAAUAAAUGCUUUUCUCUGUAGAAUCCAAAUCAGAGGGACCACAUCAAGCUACAUUGUAAUUUCCACAAAGAUGGAAUACUUUGAAAGUUCAGUAGCUAUAAACUGGUGGUCAAACAAUUUGGUUUAAGGGCUCCUCAAAAGAAAGAAAAAGCAGAGAUUCCAAAUAGAACAGUAUAGAUGGGAUUAAGAAGUCAUUGCAGCAUUAGAUAACACCAUCUCAAACGAGACAAACAUGUGAAUUUAAGGAUCCAUUCAGUGACAUAUGAUACAUCACAGGAAUAUUGCCCUAAACAAACAAUCAAAACAGAUUUAAAUGAUGUUAAUUUGACCAGAAUUGACCCUAAAACAAAGCUCAAAUGGGGGAAAAGUUCCAUAUAACCAUCUCCACAUAGUUACAAAGUAAGGGCUUUCGCUAGCAUUGCUGCAGCCCAGGAAUUUGUUGAAAUUAAAGGAGAGCUGUUCAGCUAGAAUAGAUGCACCUUAGAUUAAUAAACAGCAAUAGCAAAAUAUAAACACUCUCGGUUUAACCAAAGAUAUUGCCCUAAACAGAGCUCAGUGGCAGGAAAAAGAAUCAUGUAUGCAACCCAAAAUGGCUGACACGUUAAGGCUUGCUUAUCAUUGUUAUGUUAUGGAAAUGAAGUGUUUCAGUAGAUCAAACAGAAAGAGAACUGAGAAGGGAGACAGAGAGGAACAGAGAUGAGAUGAGAAGGAAUACUGGUCCAGGGCAAAGACAAAAUUACUUCCAUCAUGUAAAACAAUUUCACCACAUAUGAAACAAAGCCAACCACAAGUAUUUAGUAUUGGAUAUACCAAGAUUCUCGAUGUCUUAGAUCAGGAUAUCUGUAACUCGAAUCAAAUAUAUCAUCAACAUCCUGCUAUCCCUUACAAGGACCAGCAGCCUUUCAAGCCCUAAAACAUUUUCAAUCCAGUUAAAAUACAUCUAUAUCAAUCACAAUUGAUGGAUCAUGUUGAGAAACUAAUAACAGCAAUGUAUGUUGGCCACUAGUGCACACUUCUAAAGGUUCCUAGAUGGACUCAAAUAAUGAAUCCAUGAAAUGAUUUACCUGAUCAAUAUUAACCAUUGAAGCAGAACCAUAAAAACAACAGUUUUAACAUGACCAAACCCACCCAAUCAGAACACUAGAUUAUACAGCGUGCAAAUUGCACAGGGAGCAAACCAAAGCGUUGAGACUUCUCCAUACCAUCCAAUCCAGUUUCAGGUGUCUAAUAACUGGGUGCAUCAAUAUACCAACAAGUACAAUAAAGGUAUCACUAAAUCAAAUAAAAGAAAGGCCUCACAUGAAAGAGAUGAAGUGAUGGAAAGCUUAAUCAUGAAUCAAUUAGCAAACACAUCAAAAUUGGGACUUAGAACAAAACUGAACCUGAACAAGCAUUACAAACCACAACAUUUGAACUAUUUCACCAUAAAAUAACCAGCAUUUUCAAAGUACAAAAGUAGGUUUCAAACGUUUCAUACUCACAUUUUGCAAAACAUGCAUAUAAUAAUAAUUAAAAAAAACCAACACCAUCAACUUAAAAUCAACUUUUUAAGAAAAUUACAUACAGAAACCAAGCCAAAUAAAUAAAAUGCUAAUGGUAUCUUACAAAUUAAAAUAAAUACCUGUAACUAGAAAAAAUUAAUAAUAUAGUCAACAAAUCAGAAAAAACAGUUUAAUAAACUAGAAAGGUCAAUAAUCUUUAAAUCCGCAAGGUUCUUUUACAAUUUAGCAACAAGUCAUUUAUAGGGCUUUAAGAAGCAAAUAUAGUAGCUCAAAAUACUGCAUAAGUGGAAAGGAUAAAAGAAAUUUAAGUAUCACAAGGUGGUUCCAAAAACUUGAGUUUAAAAUUCAUUGCAAACUACAGAAAAGAUGCAUUUCAUUGAGCGCAGAAGCAGGAACUCCAGAAGGAUCAUCUGCCCAGAACAAAAUAGAUUUAUGCACCUACAAAGGAUCUGCAAUAUAAGGAAGUGUGAAAUUAUAAAAAACCAAGCUUCGAACUAAAGAACUGUGCAUGAAAAAAAUUACUGCCAAGAAAACUUAUCCAUUCAAAUCCACAAUUAAUGGAUGGAAGUUACAAAAGGCAAUAACAAUUUGAUAAAAAGGCUGUAUAAGAUAAAAAUGAAAUAAUCAAAUGGAACCUGAUAGAAUCAAAAUUGAACAAGAAAAUCCAAACAAUAUGAUAGCUAAUGUAGGAAGCUUAGCAAUAAGUAUUUUGUAUAAGGGAAAAAGAUGAAAGAGGAUAUGACUUCAAACUAUUGAUGCAACUGGAUAUGCAAAUCAUGCAAUUAACCAGUUUUGAUGCCAACUGUGAAAGACAAUAAAGUUUCCAAAUAUGCAUAAAAACUAGAAAACCAAAGGUUGUCAAGAUGGUUGGCAUCUCACAUUUUCUAAUUACUUGUCAAACAGACAACAAAAAUUUAGCCUCAAAAGAUUUUGGAAAGCUAGAAUCAGCUGUGUUUUUUCUACCAGAAAAUAAUUCUAGAUGAAAGCAGAUAAUCGGGAAAGAAAACAAAUGCAAGACAUUUGAUGCUGAGAAAUGCCAAAUGUCAACUGAAGCUUUGACUAAUAUUACUCAUAAAACUUGCUAGACCACACCAUUCCACUAACGAGUUCACAAUCAAAGCACAGAGACAAUAGUACAUGUUCACGACAAAAGAGCAUAUUGAAGACAUUAUUGCAAAUUAAAAUUCUUUUAACAUCCAAUCAAUCAGUUACUUAACACCUCAUCAACAUUUUGCUAGGCAUUCAUCACAGAGAUAACCUAGUAAUAUUUCUAUGUUACAAAUGCAAUUAGUUGGAAUGUUGAAUGCUUGAGAUUUGAAGGUUAACAGUAAACAAAUGAUCAAUAUUAAAGAAGAAAGAAAUUGUUCAAACUAAGUUAUUUAUUUGAAGCAAAUUAGAGUAAAGAAUUCUUAUAAUUAUUUGCCCCGAUGUAUCUGCUGAGUAUUCCAUGAUGGCACUAGUAUAGUAUCAUAUCAUCCAAAUUCUGUCGAACUUACACAAGCAUUUCAAGUGAUCAAAAUUUUCAAAUCACCCACUGCAAUACAUUUAAAAAGUUACUGUAUGAUCCUAUAAAACUUUGACAUGUCCAUAACAAGCAAGUGAAUUGAACUUGUUACUCCUUUUUCGCUUCUUCAAAUAUUCUACUUCGUUUUGUAAAUCAAAGCUCUUUAAUGGGAUAGAUAUCACAUUAUUCAUUUAAAAUUAAAAGAAGACACAAUGUAAUUGUUCAAAGAAAAACAAAUUGAAGCAGAUGGAUGCAUAACAAUCAGAAGCAACUCUGUUUUCAGAGGAAAUGGAAAUGAAGAGAGGGGAAAAGAGAACCAAUGCAGGAUAUAUAGAGAACGAUGGUGUGUAUUCUUGCAUGGAAAUUUUCACAGAGAACACUUUUUACUUAAAAGACCUCCUUUCUGGUGCUUCCUUGACAGAGUAAUCAACCUUUUAUAGCUUAAUUAUUUAAUUCUCCUGAUUUUUUUAUUUUUUUCCAAAUAACAUUUUCAAUAUAUUACAUGAUUGAAAAUAUAAGGUUACAUGCAACAAUACAUAUAAAUAGUAGUCAUAACAAGAUCUAAAAUAUUCUCUAUAGCUUUAUGUAGAUAUUUUUAUCUUUUUUAUAAUUUUAUAAUGAUUAAUAUCUAUCAAUUCUCAGUUCAAAAUUUUUUUACAACCGACGUGAUUGUAUCGUCAUCAGCCAAUACUGAUACUGAUUAAUAAAGGUCAUAUUGCCACCUUUAUAAACGUCUAGACACAUAGUUCGUUCCUAUACGACCACGAAUUAGUUCGUAGACCAAUCCUAAAAAUAAAAUUAUCUUGACCAAUCGGGAAAGAACUUCCUAUUGAAGUAGAAGAUAGCCAUGACGAGAAACAGCAGCAAAUAGAUAGAUAGGACAACUCUUCUGGACUUUUUACACUAUAUCAUUAUGUAUAUGUAUAUUGAUGUUUAAAAAAAUUGAAAGAAAUGUAGCGGAUGAUAAAAAAAUCAUAACGGUAAGACAUCUAAAAUUGCUUCUAACUGUGAUUCAAGUAAAUGAGAUGGAAUUGUCAAAAAUUGGAGUUAGCUAAACAUUAUACCUGCACUUAACUAACGACCCAGGUAAGGGCCUAGGCCACCCAUUUGCCCAAAUCCUGUUUGGUUCCUUCCAGAGCCUCCCUGUCCAAUCGAAGCAUUCCCAUAUCCACCCUGCGUAUGUGCCUGUGAGCCAUAUCCUCCGAUCACCCCCGUAUUAAUGUUUCCCCCAAGGCCACCACCAUAACCACUGUUCAAUCCAUGCCCCGAGCUGUUUGCCAAUGAUCCAGGAACUCCCUGGUUCACGACUGAUCCUGCCACAAGGUUCGUCAAGCCCAAACCAGCUCCUUGAGUCGCAAGGAAUGCAGUCAGAGCCUGCCCCAAUGCAGGAUUCAACCCUGCUGCUGCAGCCACUGCAGCAGCAGCUGGUUGAGAAGCCUGGUUGAAACCCAAUCCACUCGCUGAAGGGGCCAUCAGGUGCCCAGCACCUGAGGCACUAGACAGAUGACUCCCGACACCUCCCAAAUACCCGGGCUUGUCAGUCCUCGAAAAGUGUGAACCAAGCAGUCCACCAGCAACCUGAUGCAAGCUACCAUGGUGAGCCGCUGUAGCCUGAAACUGGAACCCCAGCUUGUUUGGCUUCGGUCCAUCGAUUGCCUUCUGGCAAUGCAGAAUGUGACCAUCGAAAUUCUUGUGGGGCUCCUCCAAUGCUUUCUUUGCACUCUCAAUCGUCUUGUAAACAAAUAAAGCAAACCCCUUGGGCUUCCCGGUCAGCUUAUCCAACCCUAGUGGCCCCUCCUCGAUCUCCCCAAACUUGGCAAAGAACUGUAACAGCUUCUGGGGAUCGAUCUCCGCCCCAACGUUGCUGACAAAAAUCUUCCUCUGGGUGUACUCCGACACCGGCGGUGCCGGUGGUGGCACAGGACCAGCGGACGCGAGCUGGCACGCGGUCACGCGGUUGCCGAUCUUCUUCUGAGGCUGCUCGAGGGCGCGGCGGGCGCCGGCACGGUGCUUAAAGAGGAUGAAGCCAUAACCCUUGGACUUGCCGGUCGCCUUGUCCAUGACCGCGUUGCAGUCCUCGAUCUCGCCAUAUUGGCGAAAGGCGGCGGUGAGCGUCUCUGCGUUGGUGUCCCAACCGAGGCCAUGGACGAAAAUCUUGCGGUGGGCAGGGUCCAGGUCGGCGAUGCGGUGGAUCUCCGCCAGCACGUCCGGGUGCCUCACAGCGGCGUCGCGAAGGAGCUCGACCAGGUGGUCCCUGGGGAAUGGCUCGAGGAGCUUCUGGAUCGAGGUCGGAUCGUUCUCCACCACAUCCUCCGCGUCGUUGCCGACACCGACGCCCCCGGCGGAGGCGCCACCAAGGUCUUCAGAGGCCGCGUCGGAUUGGGCGUUCUCAUGGACCGGAGGGUUCGCAUCGGCUCCGGUCGGGGUUUGUUCCUCCUGGGACUCAUCGAUCGCGACAUCCGGGCCGGACUCUUCUUGGACGGGCUCCUCCUUGGGUUCUACGACGGGCGCGGGCGCUUUGACGGCAGAGGAAGGCGUGAGCUUUCGCUUCUUGGCCAUGGCGGCAGAGUCGACGACGGCAAGCCUUCUAGGGUUAGGGUUUGGCGCGGCAACACGACAAUAUAAUAUAAUGGAUAAAGGUGAACAUCGUCACGUGGCGCAGGGUAGUGUGGUUCGGAACAGAGUUCAUCGAACGGCCAGAAUUCGAUCAUUACUUGGCUCAACUCCUGUCUAAUUAGGGGGGCUGUCGAACCGGCCUUUGCGUGGAUACGGUUCGGCCCAACAGCUGACGAAGUCCCGCUCAUUCAUAUCGCAGUCCCAUUUAGUUAUAAUAGUGUGUUCGCUGUUGCGUUGACUUGUAUUUAAGACAAUGGUCAAAGGUUGACCAUUAUUUGUUGAAAUCCUAACAUUCAUAACCAUCAUAAUUUGUGGCCCAUCGACUCUCUCUCUCUCUCAGGAACACAAAAAAACAGAAAAAUGGACUUGAAAUUAACAUAAAGAAACAGCAAUAUUGUUCCAAUUUAAAAAUUGCUUGCAAUUCUUUUUUUUUUUUGUUUCUAUUCUGAUGUUGUCUCAAUUUAUGACAUUUAUGGAAAUGUUAAUUCAUUGACGCAUGUUCUUGUGCAUUCAAAAUGGACAGCAGUAAAUGGAACUCACAGAUUAUGAAGCUAAGACAGGUUCUUCAGUCGCUUUGAUGGUGUAAGCUCCUUCAACCAUCUCCUCAGUCAUCGAUCGAACUUCUCUAUCGGUCAUUGGAUGGAAUUGUUCGACGCAUGAUGACGACGAGCGGAUGUCUUCGACACAAGCACUCUGGUCUGGUGACCUUUUCAUCUUCUCCUUCAUCAUCUGGCUUGGGCUAACCUUGCAUAUGCCAAAACAGGCCACUCCGAUGUUGCUCUCGUCGCCAUCAUCUCGGGGUACGUCUUAGUGAAGGGAGACCAUUUUAAUCUGCUCGUCGCCUACUUCGAUGGCCUUGUCCUCCGGUGUCUGCUGAUUUAGGCCUUUGUGGCGUUGCAGCUCAGAGAAGUGCUCUCCGAUGCAAGGACAGGCUCCACCUGUCAUUUAAGCUAAUUGUGCAGGCGAUUACCAAGGCAGAUGAAGGCCGUACCUGCGUUCAUGGGAACUCGCAUGCUUGACCUUGAACUUGACCUUUCUCAGAUCAAGGUCAUCCCCUAGCAUUAGAAAACCGGCGUUCGAGAGGUGGGUUUCAGAUCCAUUGUCCUUUCUGCACCGGGAGCACUGUACUUUGAGGAAGAGGACGGGAGAUAAAAGGGCGGAACCAACCAAUGACGAGGGAGGUUCAUGGUCUAGUUGCUGCUCCACUGGAAUAAAGAUGAGCGGUUCUUGGACGUGUCCUUGCACUGAGCAAUGGCAUCUCCUCACGGCUCAAGGACGAGGAGUCCAUAAAAGCUGGAAGAUGGUGGGAGACUCUGUCGUUAGAUGAUGCACACAUGUGAUCUCGAAUGCUUGGCUGUCCUUUCUCUCAUUAGAUUAAAGCUGAGGCUGUCAUCGAAGGAAAUCUUUGGAACAUGGUAUUUUAGUGGGAACAGUGAGAGAGAGAGAGAGACAUCACCAUGAGCGCAACAUAUGUCCACUGACCUUAUGUAGGAGAGAGAGCUCCUUGGUGUAGAAUUGAGAAUUCAGGUGGGAGAACUCCUGCAGAAGACCAGUUCAGAUGUCUUCUGUGUUCCUCUGGCUGAUUACAAUCUUGGAUUUGAUUAGUUCCUCUUCAUUGGAUGUUUUGUUUUGGUCUUGCAGAUCGUCGGAGGGGUGUCGAGUCUUGCGUGCAAUCUUUGGUGGAUUUGGUCGAGCGCUGAGAGCAAAAGAAGUUGAUGAAUGAGGUUCGGGCCGAGGGCAACUGAGGGCGGUGGCGACCGAGGGAGAUUGGUGAGCUCCAAAGCCGCCAGGGUGGGCCUAUGAACCGGGCAAUGAUGGAAACCGACAGAGGCUGCGGCUGCGGCUGCGAGGGAAGCAUUCCGGCGCCUCAUGCAGUGAACAGGACGACGGCGGACGAGGUGUGGAGGGACAUCCGACAACGGAGGAGGAAGGAGAGCAGAGAGCAGCAGCCUGCGCUGGGUGAGAUGAUCCUAGAAGACUUCCUGGUGAAUGCCGAGGUGGGAGCUGAAGACUCUUGUAUUGCCUUCAUGCCUCGCGAGCACUGGUUGCAGCAUCGCCAUUGUGAUCACCAUCAUCAACAGCUGCAAGCUUCAGCGUUGGCCAGUGACAACCCAGCGACGUCCGAUCCGCAGACGCCAGGGCGGAAGAGGGCGGCAGGAGGAGAAGUCUCGGAGAAGACCGCGGAAAGGAGGCACAAGAGGCUGAUCAAGAACCGGGAGUCAGCGGCACGGUCGCGAGCAAGGAAGCAGGUGGGUCACUCUACUUCCCCACCGUGGAGUCAUCUACAGCGAAGGCAGGGUGUUGGCUUCCUCUUCUCCGUUUUAAGGUUGCUUCACUCUUUACACAGGCUUACACGAAUGAGCUGGAGAACAAGAUCUCCCUCCUACAAGAAGAGAAUGAGAGGUUGAAGAAGCAGAAGGUAAGACAAAAGAUUAAGAAAAAUCUUAAUUUCAAAAGGAUUUGAUUCAACUUUAAUAAAAAAAGCUUAUACCACCAUUAUACUUCAUGAACUAACAUAUAUACAUAUUUGCUGGUGAAGGGUUAUAUUUACCUUUGUUUUAUUUGCAGGAAUUGGAAUCAGCAAUUCAUGAACCACAACCAGAAACAAAAUACCAGCUCCGCCGAACGAGAUCAGUUCCUUUCUGAUCUUUAUUUUGUGGUACAGAUGCUUGUAUUUUGUGUUGUUUGAGCUCUCAAUAAGUUUCAUGGCAAGUCUUGUGGUCUUGGCUUCAGGAUGGGCUUCAUUGUGAAUGAAGCAUUGCCUUUUUAGCAUCAAGGAGUGAUCGAAGUUUCUGCUUGCUAGUUUUCCUGUGAAUUGCAGGCAUACAUAGGGCUCAAAGAGAAGGCAUGGAAGUGUUCUUUACCAGGCUGUACAAAUCAUAAACUCUUCAAGGAUGCAUUUCCAUGUCCAGGUCCCCUGAAUAGAACCUUUCAAUGCAUAGACUCCAGCGAGAGACUAAAAGCAGCUUAAAUCAUAUGUAAAUGACCUGCAAUGAUAAGUAUUUACAUUAGAGAGCAACUAAAGCAGCUUAAAUCAUAUGUAAUGACCUGCAAUGAUGGUAUUUACAUUGGAGAGUAAAAACAACAACAAUGAGAGUCGGUAUUGACAUACCUAUCUGAUAGAGCAAGUCACCUGAGAAUAAUGCAUAAGAUUCAAUUUGUAGAACUCAUUAUGCACAGAAAUUAUACUUUUAAUUUGAAAUACUUCAGUUCUUUCACAAUAAUAAUGCAAGCAAAACAAAUUUCACCUGUAUAAAAUCAGUCAGAUAAUGCUGCUUAUGAGACAAUUAAUAUUAACUUUCUCUGAAAACAUACAGUUAAAAACUUAAGUUACAUGAUUUGGGUCGUUCGACUCUAAAUUUUAAUUGACUAUGUUCCUUGUAAGAAAAGCACGAGGGUAACAGCUUAAGCUUAAGGCAAUCAUCAACUGAUAAGGAUGAUUGUCUUGGUGCAUUCAGCUGUCCUCGUGUGGAAUGUAUCACGCUUAUGAUCCCCAAUGUCUCUCUCAAAAGCUUUUCAACAUACAAGAAGCUGUACCAGAUACAUGGAGUUCGGGAAAUGCGGCAUCAAUGAAUAAGAAAGUCAACUUUAUUCUGUUGAUUGAGGCAUUCGGACAGGUCGGUGAGGCUUUGGAGCUGCAAUACACAUGAUAAAAUUUUGACAACAUUAUAUUGCUGUAAAACAAUUUAAUUUAAAGGAAAAAGGUUAGUUUAGAUUAAAAAAGGAACAAGACCAAACAAUGUGGUCUUUGAAAAGUCGAUUCACAAUGAUAACUAGAAGGAAGUAGCGGACCACAUACUCGGAUCUACCAACAUAACAAUCCUCUCUCAUUUAUUUGCUGUUUGGGUUGGAAAUCUGUCAUGUUAUUUGUGUAGGUCAUCAUGAAAAUCUCAAAGUUGCAUACACAUGGAUUAGUUCAUUACAUAGGUCGUGACUCACAAAUUGGUUUCUACUUCAAGUAUGCUAAUAAAAGUUGGUGAACUGAGGUCAAAAUAUUAAUUUGCAAGUCAUCGUGCUUCACUGGAUAAGCAUCAAAUCCAUUCUUACACCAUCCUGUUCAUGUCACCUGCAGAUGAUGUUAAGGUGAAUAUGGGUCUUACAAAAGAACAAAAAACUGGUUUAAGAUGCAAAUUUUGUUCUACCAUGCAGGUUAACAUGGCAAAGUAUCAUGUUGGAGAACAUGGAUAAAGAUUUUGAUAGAUGAUGGAACUCGGGAUAGGUGGCAUUCUCACAAGAGAACGUUCAGAACAAACAUGAGGCAUUGUAAGGAGAAAGACCUGAAGCAUGAAACUUAGCAAUUGAAAGGAGAAACAACAUCAAAUUAUGGAUGAAGCAUGAUAGAUCAUGAGGUGAUGUACCAUCUUCCGGGAAGUUGACUUUCAGGAGGUUUUCCUCCAUAAAAUAAGUACAAAAAAAUAUAAGGAGAUGGAAAUGAACCAGAAGAUUAUAACUGGUUGAAAAAAAAGAGUACAAAUCUUAAAUUGAUGUGAGAAUACUAUGCUGAUCUAAAAUUGAUGUGAGAAUACAAAUCUUAGGCGAGUUUAUAAAGUGAAGAUGUUUCAAACUUUCAACAUUCAAGCAUUGACAGCCUUGCUACUGUAUUGCAAUCAUGAUGUUCCAGCAAAACAUGGGCUACAUGAGUACAACUCGUCAAAUCAAUCAAACUGGCUAAUCAAACUAAGGCCUUCACCAUAAGAAAAUAAAGAGUGAUGAAUAAUUUUUGAAACACAAUCAUAAAGCCAAAGACCAAAGAAACCAAUUGUCAGGCAAAGUAACACCAACCAUAGGAACCUUGAAAUGAGAAGUUUCAUUUUUGAUCCAGAAUGGUAAAGUCAAAUGGGAAAUCCUUUGCCUUCAGAGGCUGCUCUCUGAAUGUGGUGAUUAUUUAGUAUAGCAAAGUGAAAAUUAUCAAGAGAGAUAAUAUGUUGUCCUUGCGACACCAUGUUCAAUAUGAGUUUUAUAAAGUUUACAGGAGCAUAUCCAGAAUUUCAAUGUGAGACGAGGUCCACAUUAAUUUGAUUAAUGAAUUGGUAAUUAUGGAAGUAGGUCAUCAAAAUAAUUAAGGGUCUCAGAGUGAAUAUAUUGAUAAUAAAAGACAAAUCAGAAAAGAUGAAGUUAAUCAAUAAAUGAAACGACUAUGUCGGUAAGAAGUACCAUUGGGAUUUCCUUGUUCAUAGAAAUUUCGGAAAAGUGCAACAGCUUCUUCUGACAUUAGACCUCCAGUACAUUUGAAACUCUUUGCUUGUAAAUCACCUCUGCCACAGAACAACCAAUAACAGUUAUAAUUUAACAAAGCAGUAAAAUCUUUCAUCGAGAGAAAGCAACAAGAAUGGAACAUUCACUGGGAGAUAUUCUAUUCUAUGUAGUUUCCUUAAGGUGGCUGAUCAAAGUACAUGAAGAGGACAGUUGAGGGGGCACACACACAUGCUCAAUUAGCUUCACUGGUAUCCAGAAGAAGCUAUAAUUUAUAACCUGAAGUAUACAAGUUCAAAGCUCUUUAAAUUUUAUUUACUGGUAAGAACAGGACAUCCAAGAGAAACUCCAGCAGCUUGGAUAUAAGAAACUUACAAAUAAGAAGAACAAUGUUGUUUACAUCCAAUAAAAACUCCAAGCAAUUUGGAUAGAAGAAACAAAUACAAAGAACAGACAGCAGCUUCAGAAGAUUUAUUAUUCAACAUGAAAUUGACAAUAAAGUAUAAAAAUGAAAAAAAUGUCAUAUAAAGCAUGUUUGCAAGUCAGAAGGCUAAUCCAGCUACCAUCCUCGAUUCAUUCAAGCGGUCCUCAAGCAAAUUCAAGAUCCAUGGGGUAAAUUAACCUGCCUCUGGAAGGUGCUAAAUUUCUAUGACCUUAAGCUCAACCAUAAAAAAACAAAGAAAAUAUUUCAUGCUAUUAUUUUCCUAGACAACGAAAAUAUAAACAAGUAUUAUGGAACUCAGAAAAACAAUAUUAAUUUUUCAUUAAAAGAAAAAGACCAAAAAUAAGAAGUGAUGACAGUUUAGAAGUAAACCUGGACAAUUUUUCAGAAGCACUUUCAUGUAGGGAUAAGACAGAUCCACAACCUCCAAAUUUAUCAUUGGAACAACCGUAAAAUACUUUUCCUAUUCCUAAAAAAGGAGUAUCAAGAGUAAUGACAAACUAAGAUGUGAAUGGAAGAAUAUCAAGCUGAAGAAGGUAGAAUGAGCAAACCAAGAAUGGACAAAGCCGUUGCACACAUUAUGCAUGGUUCACAUGUAACAUAUAGAUCACAUCUUGAAAAUUUCUCUGCAACUUCUGAUUGACCAAGACCAAUCUUUUGCCACUCCUCAAGUAACGUAUCAAUAGCUUCCAUUUCUGCAUGUCUAGUAGCCUGAACAUAUGAUGGUGAUAACAUUCACAUUACCCUUCCUAAGAUCACAGGAAGUAAUUUCUCAGAUACAUAUAAGAACUACAGUCUUCCACAAUAAUAAGUUAGGCAAGUUAUAAGUAAGCUUUCUCAGAUGCACAACAGCACACUGUGGUAGACAAUCAAGGAAAAAAGAACAAAAAUUGCUGGGCUUUUCCCAGAAAGACAACUAAUAACAGUGAGGAUACAUGAGUAGAGAAGCAGAGUGUUGACAGAUCACACUCUGCUGGAUCCUUUCCAUUUCAAGAGAGCUAAGAGAAGGGUGAGUAUAUUGACAAUGUAAAAGAAAAAUAUUACCAGGACCAUUGGUUAAAAGAAUUCGCUUUUAAUAAUUGCACACAGCUUUUCCAUCAAAUAAAUUCUGGUGUUAUGAAAAGACCACUUUAUAUUCUUGUAUACUAACAUAAUAUAAUUCCUUUUGCUAUUGAUACUAUUCGAGUUCAACAAGAGUGAACUUAUAUGUCAUAUAUUACAUAUCCUGUAGAAUCGAUACCAUUAGUUAAUUACAUAUGUUAAUGAUGGUAAGAUGGUGAGUGAAUCAUAUAAUCAAUUAAUGUCAUUCAUAUAUCAAAACUUUGUAAUAGAAGGUUUUCAAUGUGAGGAAUAUACUGAGAGUACAUACUAUUUUGACUGAUUUUAACUUUCAGCCCAUGACUUACAUUGACAUAUUGUAUGCACCUGUGCUGAUGGUUCGACAAACACUUAAAAGUUCAUAAAAAUUAUCCAGAAACACAUUUAUGUUCUGCAACAAUUGUGCACAUAUUGAACCUAAAACUCGGAUGGAACAUAAAUCUACAUCAGAGUUAAAUUUCCAAUAAAUAAUUGAUUUUUUUUAGUUUUUAGGAGUACAGAGAACCCAUUGUUGGUCGACUCAAUGACAAAAAGAAAAAAAAAGGUUGCUAUACAUAAAGAUCAUAAUAGAAAUCAACUAAUUGCAUACAUACAUUUCGUGUUGCUGAGGUACGGUUGCUACCCGAGGCUAUGACUUUUCCAUCCUCCACUAUAACACAUCUAGUAAUUCAAGAAAAGAUGUUCAAUGAUAGGAUGGAAUCAAUUAAAAUAAUCAUACACACAGUGUCAGAAUUUGAAUCCUCAUUAAUAUACUCUAAAACUUUUAAUGAGACAGACGCAUGAUGUCCAUCUGUAUCUCUAAUUCCAGAAACAAUUUAGUGCAUGUGAUAGGUUCAUGAUCUCUUAUGUGACAAAAUAUCAUUCUAUUUUGCACCAAAUUAUAUUAUUAACAAGAACUUGUAAAAUGUUUUCAAGUAGAUAAUAGUAAGAAUCAGUGCACAACAUUCAACCAAGUGACUAAUACAACCUGAAAAGACAGGAAAUGGUCAUUACAAAGAAAGAAGGAUUAUGUUAUGUAAGCUCCAAAUGCAUUAUAACAAGAUCCUCCACCAUUCUUUUAAAAAAAAAUUGGAAAAAAAUUAUUAAAUAAAAUAUCUUGAAAGAGGAAUAUAAACUUACCCAACUGGAACUUCUAGGUUUUCGAGAGCAAACCUGGCCUGACAGAUAUAAGAAGAAAAUAAGCACAAAACGGAACAGAAAUCAGUCUCCAUUUUUCAAAAACAUAAUAUAUAAAAUAUUUGAGCAAACACCAAAUAAUUUUAGGUUCUAUGACACUAAACCAUACUAAUGUACAUAGCACGAAUUGAUCAUGGCUGGUAAAGUAUUAUGGUUCUGAAGUUCCCAUAUAGGAGCGUCAAUGGUUUGUGUUCAUGGUUGUGUUGAGACAAGCACCAAGAACCCUAUUUAAGAAAAGUGUGAAAGAUACAAGGAAAAGAUAAUUUAAAGGUCCAUGUGCCAAGAAAAAUUAUCUGUACCCAGUGGUUCAUGACCACAUUCAUGAGAUCAGCAUGUCAAAACACUAUAACACAUAGGCCAUAACCAUCAAAACCAAGCAAGUUUAGUUCUAAUACAAGUAUCCACAAACACAAUCUCUAUGACAUGUGCCUGAUCCAAUAGUUAAACCUAUAGUAAGUUCAAUGAAGAUAUAUCCAUCCAAGUUAGCAUCAGAAUUUAGUUAUCAUAGACCUUAAGACUAUACUUUGAAGAUAAAUAUAAUCAAUACACUUCAGAUCUGUUCUAAUGUGAACUUCCGUCAACUUCUGUGUAGAAAAAAAUUAUAAGCACAAAACAUAACAAUUUCUCAAUCAUACAUCUUUAUUUUUAAAAGCAUUAUGUGAUUUAACAUUCAAUAUUUGUUAGGAAAGGGAGAAAUACAGGAGAAUGAUAAUCCUUUCCAGUUUCAGAUUAUAAUAGUAACGGCAAACUAACAAGAAAGUCAAAACAUAAAGCACAGCAGAAGAUAAUUCACAAAACAAGAGUAUAUGGAUAAUGGACUUGACUUUCAAGCCUAACAAGAAAACACUUAUUCCAGGUUGCACUUUGAGUUAUAAAUGCAAAGAUGACAGUCAAAACGUAACACCAAGAUAUAUAACACAGAAAUUAAUGCAAGAGGUAGAAGGAGAAAUGUAGAGUGCCUGACAACAAGAAAUUUUAAUAUAAUCAGCACGUAAAGCUAUAACUUCUCAAGAUUAAUUUAAAGUUCAAGAUACCUGCUCCAAGGCAAGCUCCAUGAAUCUCAGUUCAGUUAACAAAUCAUGUCCUGUUUCCAGUGCCAUCUGACGGCAUAACACGGGAGUGUUAACUUAGAUGCACAAAACCAAAACUAACAAAUUUGCUUGAAAGAACAAACUAUUGCAAUCAGACAUUUGAUAGUUACAUUGUAAGUCAGGAAUUUUGUCAAACAGCUGGAGUACACAACAAACAGUACCAUUUCUAAAGUGUUAAAGACCUUCGAUUAUAAUAGGAUUCAAGUUUUGCGGUUGAGUUGUUGAAGACAGAACAACUUAGACCUUUAACCCGUGUUUAGGCAGGAUAGAAAAGUCCAAUAAUGAUAUCAGAUAAAUCUAGCUUCCAAGAGUAUAACAAUAGAAGAUUUCCAAAUUGUUGAACUAAAACACAAUGCAAUUGAAUGAACCAACUCAUACAAUGAGGGACGGACGGGACAGAGAGGCCAGAGGGAGGAAAGUAAUUCUCUCGGUGAACGUCAACUCUAAAGCUGCAUGGUUCCGCAAGAUUUGAGCAUGUGAAUGCAGAGAAUUGCUGAGUUCAUCAUGUAUAAGUAUAACCUUUUCCCCUUAAAUCCGAAUAUCUGAGCAACGGAGACCUAAGCAAGUUUUAGAGAGGGGAGGAGAGGGCAGAACAAAAGAGGGGAAGAGAGGAGGGCAUAUGAGAGGGGAGAAAGCGGGAGGAGAAGAGAGGAGGUCCGUGGAUGAAACAGGAGAGGGGCAGAGAGGAAAACACAGGCGAGCGAAGGUGAAGAGAGGGGAGGAGACCUUACGAUCAAUCAGACCUCCAAGGUAGGAGAAGAGACGAAAGGAGAAGACAGGGGGAGGAGACGGAAGAGAGGAGAGAAGAAAAAUAGUACCGACAGUUGUCCAACGGAAGCGACUCGGCCAGCGUCGGCGGCAGCUGAAACGCUAGGGAUCGCUCGUCGCUCGUCCCGUGCACGGUGCGUCGGCUUGUGGUCUUUUAUAGGAGCCCGAUGAGUCGACUCGGACGAGGCGAUCGUUUGCACCGAGUCGACUCGCAAGAGGACCCGAUGCCACGAGACCCACGUGUGAAAGGCGCAGCCGACUCGUCAGGCUUGAUCUGGGCCGUAUGAUCGCACGAACCUACGGCCCAGAUCGCGAGUUUGAUAACCUUGAAUUAACGGCUUCCCCGUGGAUCAUCUUUUGCAGCAUCAAAUGCUAAAUAAAUAUUAUGGAGAAAAAUGUUAUUGGCAUAUUAAUAACAAAUAAUGUCUCUUUGAAAGUAUUCACAAUCUUUGGACUCUACUAUUAGAUAAACAUACCAUUGAAUCUCUCAAAUCACAACUAAAACCUAAAUUAAGCAUCGAAAAGUUCGAAUCAAGAAUAAUCCGAUAUGAAAUUGAUGACCAAAAGAAAUAUUAACAUGAAAAUAAGGUGUGAUUUUUUUUUACAUAUUUAUGGUGAUCUCAUUUUUCAAGUUAUUGUUAAGAGUGGCAUUACAUUUAGCUUAGAUAUGUCAUUACAACUGCAGCCUCUUUAAGCUGCUACUUCUGUCUGCAUGUUAUCCUAAUGCUCCUCUCUCUUCUCUCAUGGUGAUAGAGGAGGGAGAGAUCAUCAUGAUAUGAUAACUCAACUAUUUUAUUGAGCUAAGACAUAACUUUAGUUAAAUUAAGAGUAUUUUAAUUCUUUUUUAAUUUAUUUUUAAUCAUUUUAUCACUCUCUCUCCUUACAAUUGAACUCUAUACAUUCACAUUUACAUCCUGCAACAAUUUUUUUUUUAGCAAGUCUCGAUAUAAUUUAAUUGAAAUACUUAUGAAGGAUUAAACAAAAGAAUUGGGGCUUGAUUAACAUUGAUCAUGCCAUCUUCUAAUAACAUUGUCAGAGUAUGAGAGCUAAUUGAGUUGGAGUAUAUGAUGGCUUCUUGUGAUCAUGCACAAGCCUCAAAUUCUCCAUAUGGAUUUAUUUGGUCAACCUAACUCAGAUUCAUUUUGAGAUGACAAUUUAAGUGGACAUAAUUAAGUUUAUAUCCACAAAUAUUUAACUGCAGGCUAAUUGAAUCAAGUUCAUGCCAUCUUAGCUUUACUCUGGUCAAUCACUAUUCAUAAGACCAUCUUAUUGAUUCACUGAUGUGGACUUUCUUCACACCAUCUCUCUCUCUCUCUCUCUCUCUCUCUCUCUCUCUCUCUCUCUCUGUGAAGCAGACCAGAGUGACCACAAAAGCUCAGACAUUGUCAUGCAUUAGUGAAUUGAGGCCUGGGUGAAUGGGAGUCAUGUGAGAUCAUUAUGCACAUCAGUGCAGUAGCAGUUGCAAACAACUGUACUAUUAUAUUGUUACCAUGUCAUCCUCACAUAUAGUCAGCACCUGACUGCAAGUAGAAGCUUGAAACCUGUAUCUGCACUCAUAAAAAAAGUAGUACAAUUGUUAGUAAGUCAACUCUGUACAGUGUCUUUGUGGCAUCCAGGGCUACAUCUUACCAAAUGCUACAUAAUAUUGAUUUCAUUAUGUAUUUAAUGCACAUAGUAUAGUAAUAUUCCUAGUCCUUUCACCAAGAAGCAUCUAACAAGUCACAUUGUUGUAACCAAACCAUGUUUUUGCUGUCCACAGAUUGUUUAGGUUGUCAAACUCUGAAAACAAAAGCCACAACAGAUUAUAUGCUCAUCUACAAGAUUUUAGAUCUGGUGCAGAGUGAGGUGGGAAGCUGCUUGGAAUGAGCCUACAAACCCAUGAUGUUGAAAUAAGAACAAAAGAAGAAGAAGAAGAAAAUUUCAAGUGAAAUGAAGGAAGAAAACAAAACAUGUCUGUUCUAAGGUGCAUAUUUACCAGGUUAGGAAUAGAGAGAUUGAAAUGCAUUGAUGACAAGAACAGAGCAAGCACCUAAGACACAAGAGGAAUAGUAGAUAUCACAGAUCAAGCAGAUGGAGCAGGAAGAACAAUAUUUAGCUCUAACAAAACAAAAGCACAUCAAGCUGAAGCUGUUAAAAUUUCUUAGUAGAAGGUAGAUGUACAAAAGAGCUGAGAGAUUGUUUCACAAUGAUAUGUGCCAUUCCAAGAUAAAACAGAAAGAAAAUAUACAAUGAAAACAAGUAUUGGUAGUAGUGUUCUUCUUCGAGUGUGUUUUUCCCUUGAGAUGUCACAGUGAGGUUUGAAAUUAUAUGACAAGAAACAGGAGCAGUUAAAAGAGCCUUAGAUAUUAUGCAGAGGUGGGUGAUAAGUCAUACUCUCACUCUAUAGUACACAACUGAUACUGAAACUUUGUGGGGGCAACACAUUAGUAUAGCCCAAAACACAACAUGCUCAGCGUUGAGAUGAGAAUUCAUGACUGGUACUCCAUUUUAUGCACUAUAACAUGUAGAUCAGUAAAUCAAAACAUUCUUACUGUACAGGAAUGCAGGAAUGGAGGAAAAUUGGAUGGCUACUGCAAAUGCUGAUGCCUCUGUUCCUGAGGAAAUGGCACUCUGCAACUGGUUCCACAUAAACAAACAAAACGAACCACCGCGAGCCAUAGGAAGAGAACGAAGGCAAGAGGCCGAAUUGAUUCAAAAACCAUUCAUCUCCAAGAGAUAAGUUCGUCUCUUCAGUAGUGCCUUCGCUGCAGCCUGAAAUGGCCCGUCAAAUGCCCCACAAACAAAUGCCUCAGCGUCCUUCCUGCUACAAUUGCCGCUGCUGGUGCCCUCUUCUGCGGGCUUGAUAGCCACCAGCGUGGCUCCCUGCAAUGCCAUUCCCUCGGGCAGCUCCAAGUAUGGAGUGUAUCUCAGCUUCAUGUUUGAUGCAGGCACCUGAGUCCUAUUUGAUGAUGCAGAGGCUGCCAAUGGCUUCUCUCUGAACUCUUUCAGCUGAUCCGCUCCCAUGGUCAAUGUUCCCUGGCCAUCGGCGUCCGUCAAGACCACACUUCUCAACGUGGGGUGAUCCCUAAUUAUCUGUCGGACAAGAUAGUGCCAUGUGGAAGCAGCAAUCAAGGAGCUGAUAGUCCAAACAACCCGCAACUUCAGACCUCCAUUCGUAUAGAACGGCUCCGGUAUGCUCCCAGUGUCUUCCACUGACCCCUCCAGAUUGGCUGAAGAAGGCCUGCGAUCCAUCUUGGUCCCACCCAAUAUCACACAGUUCUGAAGGGUGCUUCCGAACUCCGCUCUCCACUUCAAGAAGACGCCAUCUUCCGUUCCGACGUCGCCAGCAGGGAGCUCGAUCCUGAGGUUGCGGACAUGGGUGAACUUCUUGAGGACUUGCGCAGGGGAGUGAUGGGAGAGAUGCGGCAAAAGAGGCUUAUGCCCGGCACUAAAGUUCUGGAGGUGUUGAAAGGGCUUGAGAAUAGCGAACAGCAUGAGCUUCAAGAGAUGGGCAAGGAGGUUUCGAGGUUUAGGGGAAGACAGGGUCAACGCCUCCUCCGCGUCACCAUCCACCGGCACGACUCGGCCGAUCCUAACAUACACGUCGUGAACCUGGGGGGCCAGGAUGUUGAAGCGUUUUGACACGGCCAAGCAGCGGCCGAGGGACCGGAUAUCGGCGACCUUGUUGAAGAUGAGGAGUACAAGGGAGUCUGGAAUUUGAUCGAAGUGGUCCUGGUAGAGGGAGGGGUCUGCAUGGAUUCGGGAUUUGGACUGCAUGUUCCCUUGUUGGGCAAUCAAGCACUCUCUUUGGACGCUCGCGAACAAAGACCCUCCGAUGGAUUUCCUCCUGUUCAACUCAAAUGUCAUGGUUACAUUGACGAUGAAAGCAAGCUGAGAUCUUUUUUCCACCGGGACAAAGGAAGGAAUGCACCGAUCUAAUGAUCUGCAUAACAAAAGAUAAGAAUCCCAUAAUUGUGAUCGAUUUCAACGCCCAAAAAAGAACCUUUUUUUCUCAACACUAGCAGGUUAAAAGGAAGCCCUUCUCAAGAACGGUGACCAACGGAAAAUUUCAACCUCGGACGCCGAACCUCGAAAUCAGGAGUUUUGGAAGGAAAACAUAGCUCCAGAAAACAAACUCGCAUCAUUCCUUGAUGACGAGUUCAAAUCUUUUUGAACCGAAUAGACCCAACAUUAGACAGACGAUUGGCCACAAGCUCGAAAUCCAAGAAGAGCAGACAAAAGAAACAUGGCUUAAAGUGCAACAGAAAUUACCUCAAAAUCGCCGACGGCUGCAACCUCGGAGGCUCCCAACUCCCAGGAAAGUCCAAUCUUUGUCCGCAAAACCACUUCCCUAAGGAUCCGAAACCACGCAGCUUCGCCGAGCUUCGACUGACUCGAACGAAGCCAAAAUCUCAACCUGAUCCGCGAGAAGGCAGAUCUCGGAGAGUAGCAGAAGCAACACGAGGCGAAUCUAGGGAUCGAUUACGGGAUUUCGAUGAACGGAGUAGGGCUCUGGGGAGGAGGAAGUGCUCGACAUUUAUGGAUCUCUCUGGGUUCACCGGGCCGCAGGUUUUCGUUAUACCAGAGGAUACGGAACAUGACGAAGACAAGUUAACGGCGCGACGACCGAGCGUAACGGCGCACCGAACCUGGUAAGAUAUUUUGAGCCGCUGCUGUCCCAUCGAAUCGAUAACGCGGAGUGUUAUGUCACGCUGUAACGAAUCGAUAUAUAUCUUUAAUUUCACUAUCCUUAAAUCGCAUGAGAUAAUAUUUUUAUCAUUAAGCUCUAUAUAGAAUAAUAGUUUUGGUUAAAUUAAUAUAUUUAAAUUAUUAUUUAUAAUUUCUAUUAUAACCUUUUGGAAUUUUUUUAUAUAUCGCAUCACUAAAAUCUCCUUAAAAUACAUAUAUAAUCCUACAAAAAUUUCAUCAUAAAAACCUAAAUAGACAUAAUCCUUGUACAAUCCAAAGAGUUAUAUACUAUAAUUUCUAGCAACAUUAUGUUCAACAUUAUUAUAAGGUUGAGAACUAUCAAAUUGAAUUAUUUAUUAUUUUAAAAUAUGAUAAAUAUUUUGUGAAGGUAAAUUAUUUCUCCGGUUUUUAGACUUGCAUUUCUAUAGCAAAAUCUAUAUGAUUACAAUGUCAAUCAUUAGAAAUAAUAUAUCAAAAAUAAUAAAAAUAAAAAAUAAUAGAAUCCGAAAAAGAAUCAAUAUGCAUGGCCUUUCUUCUAUACUUGGAGGCACAAUUUCUUUGCCUCCAAUUUUGAUCUUUAAUGUGAUGGAGGACCUUAACAUUGUAUCAAGAUCCAUCCUCAUAUAUGGUAAUAAAUAUUCUCCACUCUACAAAUAUAAACAGCACAUUAUUUAUCAGCUCCUUUUCAUUCUCUCCAUUCUGGAAACACAAAACUCUGCAACUUUAUCCAUGGGUUUGUUGUGUGCAUGAAAAACCCUGAGCAUUUUAUAUUGAGCAUCUUGUAUUUUCCUGAUCAAGAUUCUAGCAUACAUCUCUUUUUUCCAGAUAUGCAAACUCUCAAUUGUUAGAUUCUUGUGUACACCACCCCCCCCUGAUUAGCUAGCUAGAACCAAACUUUUGAAGGAUGAUUGAUGUAUGUAUACCUACACAAGUCUAAAUUGUGAGAUCAUAUUAUAACAGGGAUAAGAUGUGCUAAAUCUCCUUUGAAAAUGAUCACCAGUCUCCCUUGGUGAAUCUGUAGGACAGAUGUGUCGAAAUGGUGCUCCUCAUGUUUAGACAAAUGACUUUGCCACCUGGGGACUAUCUGGGUCUUGUCCAGAGACAGCAAAUUCAAAUCUAACCUAUCCAAUGAUGCAAGAUAAGCUUUUGAUUUCUGUGGAGAUUUAAGUAAACCCAAGGGGGUUAGAUCAAGUAGCUGGUUCUGAAAUUGAGGCCUUGAAGUGGUUUAGCAUUACUACCAAGCAUCAGGUAGAUGGCCUACAAUGCAUGAGAUAAUAUUUACUAACAUGCAGCUUGUAUGAGUAGGCUGCCUAGGAGUUGGGAAACCUUUUUUUUUUUUGCCUUUCAAUGUACAUAAAAGACUUGAGAGAAAUUUAAAGAGAUCAUCAUACUUUGUAAGAUUUCAAAUUGAAAGCCAAAAAACUCUGAGCCUAAGUAGAUGAAAUAAGAAAAGUGAAGGCUUGUAGUUUAUGCUUACCCACAACAAAAGCACAGAGAUUUCUGUGUCCUUGCUUCAUAUCUAAAACUACUUGUUUGCAGAUGGACAAGGUUAAACCAUCACAUCUUCCAAGUUAUUGCCUCUGCUCACCAUGAACUCUGUAAUUACUGCACCAAAUAAAAGAAACAGUUAAACUCAGGAAGGAUGAGAACUUUUAACUGAGCUAAAAUGUUCCACACGAUCAAGUCAAAUUCUGGGCAUUUUCAUGAAUAACACAAUAAUUCAGGAAGGAUGAGAGAAAGACAGAGAUGAUUGUCAAGAUGAUAGCAACUGAUGCCCACAGGAAAGAUACACGGUCUGCAAUUAAAGCUUUGCACAAGAAUUGUGUCCUGGAAAGGAUGAAUCCAAAUAGGCGGUUGAUCAACGACAUCGAUCCAACUACCAUCCAGAUCAGCAAGCUGAGUUGCUCUUGUUUGAGCAUGUCAGAAACAACCAACUAGCUUUUCAGUUCGAACACACAUCCUUCUCACCAACCUAAUCAGCAUCAGUGCCAAGCUGCAAGUGUCAGGGAGGGAAUCUCAUCAAAUUCUGGUCCUGGAAGCAUUGUUGCUGGCUAAGUGGUGGUCGCUUUCCACUUUUCUGAACUUUCACUUGAGAAAAAGAAGGAAGGGAAGUUUGAAUUGGUUGUGAGAAAUAAGGCUGUCCAGAACUCAGACAUACUCAUGCCAAGCAGAAGCAUCUCAGUGAAUAAUGCCAGAGCAGUUGGAAAGAGAAAGCUCAGGCUUGCAUCUCACACUCUUCUUACUAUGAUGUCCCUUGGUAUUGUCACCAACUUCCUAUCAGUGUCUUCUUUUUGGAAAUAAAAGCAAGUGCUCACAUGCUUUCGGUGUCCUCUCAUCUUGUAGGUUAAGAAAAGAUUGCUGCUUCCAGAAGAGCCAUAGUUAAAAUAAUGUGAUACUUUGGAAAAGCAUUAGCUGCACUGCUUUGUUCAAGGACAAGAGAAUAUAGUGGAAGAAGAAACAGACAAUCUAGGCUGGUGUUUACCUUGUGGAAAAAGGAAAAAUCUCGAUCAACCACAGGCAAAAACCAAGGAUGGUAAGAAGUUAGCAAGUUCUGGCUUACAAGAAAUGCUUGAAGGAUCCAGCUGCAAUUUCAUUUUUGUCAAAAAGAAACAUUGUCAUUGUCAUAUAAAAUUUCUCACUACUGAUAUAGGCAACAAAUAAAUGAGUAAAUAGUCAGUCGAGAAGAAAAUUUUCUCAAAAGCAGGCUUCAAAUUGCAUUUGCAAAUGUGUCCAAAUCAAUUUCCACAACAUAUCUAAAAUGAGUUAGCAUAGUUCGAAUAUGAUCAACAGAAUUCUAAGCAGUUUGAGACAGAUGACUUGAGAUCCAAGAAAUCAAAUGGGUAGGAAACAACCAUUCCUCAUGUAUGAAAAUAUAGAAAUCUACAAACAAAAAUUUGAACUUUGAUAAGCACUUGGGAAGAAAAUGCCAGUUGAGUGAUAUAGAGGGCAGUCCAAAGCAUCUAAAAAUGCAAAAGGCAGCAGCUCAUACAUCCAUCUCCAGAAACAGACAUUGAUUAAUGAAGAGCAGAGCCACAGAUAAUUCGUAUCUAUCAUCCUUGAAAAUCUUGCUGUAACUUUUCAUCCUGAGUUGGGUAGAGGUAGUGAAGAUAACUGAGACAUCAAAAGCAUGUAAGAAAAGAUAAUUCCCAUACAGCAAGCAACAUGAUCGAAGGGCUCCAGAAACAAACUGUUUCCUAUCUUUCCAUUAUCCAGGGGACUUCUGUUGAAUUAAAAACACUAUGAAGGGAAACAAACAUUGAUGCAAGUCGAUCAAUCCAAAUACAGGAGUGAAUGCUUCAAUAACCAAGAACAAUUCACCAGGCCCAUUGAAAUGCCUGGCCAAACAUCUGCCCAAGUUACAGUGCUCCUAUAUCUUUUGAACUGGCAAAGAUAAGAUUGUAUCUGCCAGUUUGUUUUCACCAAACAUAAAGGAAUUGUAGAGUUAUUGGAAUUCUUGUAUUGUUCAGUCGUAUUUGGGUCUUUCAAACACAAGAGACUUCUCUUUGAGCAGCUUUGUAUACAUGUCUUCACCUUCUCAUGGCUAAACAUUCUUAGAGAAAGGAACAAGUAUCAUGAUCCUGUCUGGAAGUCCAUGAGAGGCCAAGUCUCACCACUUGUUCUCAUAAGGUAUACUUUUUGUUGGUGGGCUGACAGCAUUCCAUCUCUCGUUCAGAGUUCCAAAGCCAUGGACACAGACCAUUGGGCUGAUUUUUAUGAGACUAUAAGUGACAUGUUUAUGUAUGCAGAUAUGCAUCAUUAUGCAAAAUUUGGAAUUAAAAAUUAUUUAUUGAAUUAAUUGCAUUGUGUAACUUUCUAAUUCUGCCUCCGUAGUUAUUCAUACAUUAGCAGUUAGUGGUGUGCUUCUAAUUGACCAUUUAAGCAUUUUAUUUUCCUUAUAAUCCCAUUUAGCACUAUUACAUUUUUCCGGUUCUUCAACUUUUAUCUGGUUAAUUAUUUGCUUAUGUUUCUGCAGACUAUUUAUGAGAACUUUUGGUACCAUUAUAGUGAGGAGGAGAAUCCAAUUACUAGAAAAGGAAACAGAACCAUAUGAGCGAAAUUGAACUGACCAAAUGCAACCUAGCUAUGCUCCUCAGUCCAUGCUCAAAAAACACAGAAAUGGUAUGCCCAUCUGGACCAUAAUUUCAGGUUAGAACUUCAGACCCUGCUUCAAAUGAUGGAAUAGAAAGCAGUUAAACCAAUUGAUAUGUGACAAGAUGAGCAGACAUAUAGAAUCCACCAACAUAAAUAAUGAAGCAUACAUAAUACCUGGUAAAAGCAAGCUGCAGUCUUUGUAGCAUUACCUCCAGUAGCUGGCAGAGUUAACAAGAAACUAUGGAGGUUUAAGAUAGUCCAUCUAAUUGCAAAGAUUUUUAAGUGCUAUGACUAAAACAACCAUCACAAGGCAGCAGUUUGAUAAAUAAAGAUGAAAAAUUAAAGCAGAACAUCUUCAAUGCUUUUUAGGGUGAAUCGUUUAGAAUAUGAUGAGAUGGAGACAAUCAGUACAUAUUGGUCUUCAUAUAGAUGCAAGUGAGACCUGAGAAUUCUGGAAUAAAGAGACAAAUCAAGAGAAACAAGAUAAGACAGUCUAACAAGGCACAACCACCACAAGAGAUACGAGAAUAUAUAAGAGAAGGUUUUCCUACUAGUGUGCAAUGAUUUUUUCCCAACAUUUAUCUUAUCUUGUGG
This 58984-nucleotide long non-coding RNA is filed under the name Musa acuminata (dwarf banana). Its description in RNAcentral is "long non-coding RNA (MACU_LNC003195)". The record is from RNAcentral. Lineage: Eukaryota; Viridiplantae; Streptophyta; Magnoliopsida; Zingiberales; Musaceae.